RNAcentral lists this long non-coding RNA (58465 nucleotides) under Solanum lycopersicum (tomato). Its description in RNAcentral is "long non-coding RNA (SLYC_LNC001057)". The record is from RNAcentral. Lineage: Eukaryota; Viridiplantae; Streptophyta; Magnoliopsida; Solanales; Solanaceae.
CGGCAAUCCCUUGCAUUCUUUUGAAACAUCUUUUGCUAUAUCAAGCAGAGAAGGAUCGUCGACUGAAUUACCGACUUUCUCCUUGAAAAGCAUCCAUGCUUCCUCUUCAGGUAAAGUUUCGAUUUCCAUGAUCUUCUGUGCCUUCAUUAUAUCACAAACAGGUCGGAGACGUGUCGUCAAUAUAACAUUGCACCGGUAGUUGUGGUUGCUACCGGUAGAAAUUCCGAGUUUCUCUAGAUCAUAAAGAGCCUCCCAAACAUCAUCCAAGAUUACAAGAGUACGGCUGUUGUGAACCAUUAACCUUGUACGCAGCAGAUCGCCACGACUCCACAAAUCAUCCCCUUGUAAUGUAAGUCCGACCCCUCUUGCGAUCUCCUCCUGAAUUGUUUUAGGGUCCUGUUGUUGACUGACAAUUACCAUAACAACAUCAUUGAACAACUCUUCUUGUUUCGCCUUUCGUCUGAUUUUUUCAGCCAGUGACGUCUUACCAACACCACCCAGACCGCAUGUCCCAAUAAUUGUGACCCCGUCAUCGUUCAAAGCUGCCAUGACCUCAUCCUCUUGCAAUUUUCUAGAAUCAAACUCCUCAGCGCUGUUGAUAGGUAGAGGUUCAUUUUCAACAGCAGGAUAGCAGAAAACAGCAUAACUGUUGCCUUCAUUUUGAAGUUCAAUCAAAUCCAAUGCAAUUUUCUUAGCUCUCCUGCUCAGGAGGCAACGUGACUUAAAGUUUGGACACCAAUCAUAUCUAUCAACCUCAUUUCUACCUCGUCGCGUUACAUCUGCCACCUUAGCAGUAAUGGUAGCAACACUAGCAAACCAAGCCUCAACAUUGGGUGAAAUGACGUGUAAGUUUCUCCGGUUAGCCUUGGCUCUUUGAUCCACCCCAAUUCUGAUAUUCUUCAGCUUCUCAGAUUCAUUUUCCAUACAUGUGAUGUUUCUCUUGUAGUAAACAAAAUACCCGAUCCCUUGCACAACUGGCUUUAUCAAGCAAUCUGUUACCUUGUCCACAAAAACAGAUAAGAAUUCCAUAUUUGAUUUCUUAGUUACAAAGUAGAAUGAAAAUAGGUUGAGAGUGAAUUGAAAGCUGAUAAUUGCAGGACUACUAUUAUUAACAGCUAAAUUAUUGAGGGAAAAGGGAUAAUUGCAUUUUUUCAAACGUGGACCUGCACUAUCUUGAAAGUGACUAAACAACAAACACAUCAACACCAACAUCUAAAUAAUUGAGGCACUUUACAGCUAAAAUUGUUGGAAGUUAGCUUUGUUUUUUUUCGAACUUUCUUUCACAUAGACCAAACAACAAACACAUUAACACCAAUAUCCAAAUGUCUCUAUUUGUUUAAUUUCAUAUAAAUUUAAGUGUGUACAUAUUAAAUUUUAAAAUUGAAUAUAUAUAUCAUAUCAUAUCUCAUAUCAUAUUCAUAUAUUACUAAAAGCAUGAACAAAAAAGUUAAAAAUUGAAUUACUAUUUUACCCCCUUUUAUAAAUUAAAUUGUUAUUAAAUAUUUAAAUAUUUAAUUGUAUAAAUUUAAUCAAAAUGUUAAUGACUUUUAGACUUCUUAAGAUUAAUUUCUAAUUAAAUAUCGAAUUAAUUAAUAUUUAUUAUUUAUAAUCUAUAUGUAUAUAGUAAUUAUAUAUUUUUUUAAAAAAUGGUCUCUACCAAAAUUGCUAUAUUUUUCCUCUUCUCAUAAUUUUUUCCUUAACCCCUCUAAUGAAUAAUAUAAUUUAUGUGGUUAAAGUACUAUCCUUAAUGAUAAAUAACGAAAUUUAUUAAUUUAAAGGUUGCAAAUCUGCAAAAUGGAGACACACAUUGAUACUGUCUUCUUGACUAUUAUUAAAGAAUGACUUUAUCUUCACAAAUUUAAAUUCAUUAACGCUUAUUACGUGAUAAGAACUUUAGUUGUUCUUUCUACAUGGUUUGCUAAUUUUAAUUUUUUUUCUUCAUAUUCUUCAUAUAUUUAUUAUUAUUUUCUAAUUACUUAUUUAACUUUUAUACUCUUAAUAUUCAUAACUAUCAUCUUUUCAUAUUUAUAACCUCCAAAUAUUUAAACUAAAAUUUUAAGAUUUCUUUUGAUAUUCCUUCUAUUCUAUCUAUAUAAAUUCAACUUCUUUAUCUCAUGAAACUCCUACCAAGAUUAUUAGGCUAUCAUUUUUAUUCUAUAGUUAAAGUAGAUGAAGAAGCCUCUUAAAUUUUGAUAGGAUAUGGAAGGAGUGGACAAGAACUCAGAGAGUUAUGUAUUAAUUUUGUACUGAUUUUUUCAUGUCUACAUUAUAUUUUUUCUUAAAUCUGUUUCUUUUUGUCUUUUUUUUUUCCAUUAAACUUCUUAAUUUAGUUUUCUAUGAAUGUUAUAUUGCAUAAGUUUUUAUUCUUAUUUUGUAAUUGUUACAUUUUAUUAUUCAUUACAAUUUACAUAUAUAUUUCCAUGAAACUUUACUCAUUCUAAUGUAUCUAUAAAAAUUCACAUAGAACACACGUGCGAAGCACGUCCUCAGAAUCUAGUAUUUCUAAAAAUAGGAAGUUCCUAACCUCAAAAUUGAAUUAUCAUUUUACUCUUAAAAUAAAGUACUAUUUAAUUAAAUACUAUCUAAUUAGUGCUCCCUCCGUCUCUUUUUAUUUGUCCACUUUUCCUUUUAUAGUUGCUUCUAAUUACUUGUCCAUUUUGACAAAUCAAGAAAUGAUAAUUUUUUAACCUAUUAUACCAUCAAUUUAAUGACUAAUUACUUUGAAAUAUGUAGAACUUUUCAUCCACUUCAUAAUUAAUAAGAGUAAAAUGACUACGUCAUUAGUUAUUUUUAAUAGAUGUGUCAAUUCAAAAAUAGACAAAUAAAAAGGAACGAAGGGAGUAAAUAGUAAUCAUUAUUAUAAAACUUUUCCAUUCAAAAAUAAUAUUACUUCUCUACGUCAUCAAUUAAUCAUUAUAUCCAUGUGGAGAAGAUAGAAAGUUGAAAAAGUAAUUCAAAUGUAGACCAAAUUCAUUGGAUUAUAUAAAUUUGUGAAGUGUUUGCCAAAAUUAUGUGAUCAUAAUUUGGUCAGAACUGAAAAAAAGAGACUAAUUUAACCUUUUCUCUUUCAAAAUAAAGUUAUAGUCUAUAUUACCACUAUUUUUCUAAACGUAUAGAAAUGCUUGUGAACAACAAUAUUAUGUUUAAUAAACUUUAUAAUAUGGACUUAUUACAAUCUAACUUUAUCUUCUUUUAAUAUUUCCUAAUUUACUCUUUUUCUUGUUCCUUUUUCUUCAUCUUUUUGUUAUCCUUUAUCUUUUCUUUUUCAUUAGAUGUAAAAAUAUAAUUCCAUAAAAUAUUUUUGUAUAAAGUUUAUCAAAGACUUUUUAAUUUUAAACUUGAAAAAUAACAUUUAUUUAUUUUUAUUAUAUACAAAUCAUCCAAUUCUAAAAUCAGGCACACAAAAACAAUAUUCAUUCAUGUCUAGCUUUAUAACACAAAAUUUGUUGAAAUAACAUUACAUUUGUUUUUUUAAUUUUAAUUUCAUUAUAGUAAAUUGAAUACACUAUCAUCAAAAUUUAAAAUAAUAUGGUUUGAUUAUUUGUUUUUCUUCACGUCGGACUCAUUUGAAUAUUAUAUUUCAUAAUCAUCUUCUGAAAUAGAUAAAAUAUUUUUAUAAUAAACUAUAAAAAUUAUUAUUUUCAGAUAACAACAAAUCUUUUUAAAUAAAGUUGUACUUUAAUGCGAUAAAUACAGAAAAAUAAGUUUUGUGGGGAUAAUUUAUAAUUAGAUGAAUUUUAUGUAUUAAAAAUAAGAAAGUAAUUCUCUUGUUAUAAUUUUUUUGAUAUCUUUGAUUGUUAAAUGGGGUCGUCUCUUAUGAACCAUAUGAGUUUAAGUAUUUCUAUAAUGUGUUGAUGUCUACUAAUUUUAAGUAUUUUGAGUUUGAUUGUCGUUAUUAAAAUAUUUUAAAUUUUAUGCAUGGCUUAAUUUUUUUUUAAAAAUAUAAUAAUUACUACAAUUACCUAAUUAAUUAGAGCUCAUAUUAAUCAUAAAUAUAAGUAAUGAUAUCAAAUCAUCAAAUUGACAUAAUAAAUGAUCACAAAACUACAAUAUUAAUGAUUGGCUCUGUUGGUUUGUUAUCUAGGGUUUGAUAUAUAUGAACUAGAGUGUUUUGAGUUCCGACUGUUAUUAUUAAACUAUUUUACAUUAGAUUAAAAAAUUAUGUAAAAUGUAAUUUAAAUUUAUCUAUAUAAUAAUACAUUAAAAUUACUUAAUUUUAUAAAUUCAUGUUUAGUUUCAAAAAAAAUAUUAAUUUUAGGGAAAAGUAAUAUUAGUAUUAUGACUACAACUAUGUAAACUAAAUAUUUAACAUAUCAUUUCAUAACAAACAUUUUUGUGAUAAAACUAUAAAUAAUACUAAUAAAGAAAAAUAUAUAUGUUAUGAAACUUCGAUAAUUCGUGCUUAACAAAUUUGUAUUGUCAUUAUCAUUGGAGAACUAUGAAGAUGAUUUUCUUUCAUUUUUUUGAUAAAAAAAUUAUUUUGAAAUCAUAAAGAACUUUCUAUAUCUGUUAUGUGUUAUUAUAAUUUUUAAAUGAAGAUCCAUCAACAUUUUUAUCCAAAAAAAAAAAUUGUAUGUGUCUCUACUACUCAAAUAAAAAAAAUAUUAAUUUUAAGGAGGUUUUAUUUGUGUAUGAUACGACUCAUAUACAAACGAGAAUAUGAAGACAAUUACAUAAUAGGAGAAACAUUAUUGUAGUUUCAAUUUUCUUCAUAUUUCACUCACAUACGUUCUAAGUAUAAGUAGAUGAAAUAUACUUUUAUUAUUUAACUUCUUUCUAGAAAUUUGAUGCGUAAGUCAUAGCAACAACUUCUUUAAAUAAAUAGGAGUAUUCGUUUUGCCAACUCAGUUAAUUUCAAAUUUUUAAUUUUGAAUAUUAUAGAUAUAAAUUUUUAAUUUUGAACAUUAUAGAUAUAAUUUUGCCAACGCACGUGUAUCCUAUCUAAAGUGAUAUAAAAUAUUUUAAAUAACUAAAAUAUAAAAAAUCAUCUUACAAUUAAAUUACUAUAAUAUCGUUCAUUUUUACAAGAAAAGUUCAAAUAUUUGAGAUCUUUUCUUUGAUACCAACAUGUGUAACAAAUUGAAAUAUGAUAGCAUAGUAUCUCUCGCCGAGCUAAAAGAGAGAUGAAAAUACUUCUUAUUUUAAAAUAUUAUAAUUACGAAGGAAACGAUGUAUAUUAUUAUCUAACAUACGAAUCAUCUACAAGACAAAAUUCAUAAAAAAGACAAAAAAAAAUUUGAAAAGACAAUAGUUAUUGGUAAAGUUAUAACAUAAAUGAAGGUUGCAAUUAACCUUCAAUAUUGAUUUUUUUCAUUAUAAAGGAAUAUCAAACAUUGAAUGCUACGAACUGAAUUUUUUAAAAAGAUUAGCUUUGGAUAUAGAAAGAUGAGUGACAACUUGGAUGUCAAAAUGUAUGAAAAGUUAAAAACUGAAUUUACGUUUCUCAAAAUAAGAUAAAAGAAAAAAAAUAUAAAUGAAGAAAUUAUAUCAUGACUUCUUCCAUGAAAGGAGUAAUUUAUUGUUAAUCUGAUUAAACGUUACAUUUCUAUCUCAAAUUAUUUGUUGUUUCUAUCUUACACAUUCCUUAGAAAAUAUUAAUUAACAGAAGUAGAUUAAAAAAAUAUAAUACAUUACACUCUUACACGCCCUUUAAAAAUCAACUCAACAUAUAUAAGUAACCAAAUCUUAAAACAAAUUAAAUAAUUUUUAUCAUCAAUUAAUCUAGUACAAUAAUGUAAUAAAAAAAAGGAACAAUAAAAUUACAUUUUUAAAAGUUAUAAAUUACUUUGCAAAAGUAUAUUAAUAGUGUCAUGAUCUAAUGCAUGUCUCUGUAUUUUACUUCAAAUAAGAGAAACUAUAUAAUAAAAUAAAAAAUAAAACAUAUCUAAUUGUUUUAUAUACAAUGAUGUCUACUUCAUGGUAGGAGUAUAUCGAGAGUGUCAUGAUCUUAUGCGUGAUCAUUUAUUUUACAUUUGAAGAAGAGAAAAAUUAUACUAAUUAAAAUAAAAAAAUAACAAAUUGAUCUUAGUCUUCACAUAAACCAAUCUAUUAAAAUUGUUCUUCAAAUACUUUAUGUAACGACCUGUUUAGUCAUUUUGAGCAGCAGAUUUUAUUUCUGGAAAAAACUGGCUGAGACGACGGAUUCCACGACGGACCGCCAUGGGCACGACGGACCGUCGAGGGGGUAUCGUUCCAAAACACUUAGAAUUCUGAAAUUUGGGUACUGAAAUCGACUCUCUGAACUUCGUGACAGAAUGGCAGGACGGACCGUCGUGGGCACGACGGACCGUCACACAUUUUCCACAGAAAUUAACUCUCUGAACUUUGGGACGCACCUGCAGGACGGACCGUCACAGGUUGCGUAACCCAGGCUGGGUCGGAUUUCUAUUAAAAGUUUUUAAGGGGCGUUUUGGACUAUUCCUGCUAUAAUUAUAAAUUUAGUGGGUUAAUGUUAAUAAUUGAACUACUUGGGGGUUAAAAGAGAUAACCUUGAAAUAAAUAAUUGGUUAAUUCAUCAUCUUUAAUACUUAAUUAUAUGCUAACUAGGGUAAAAGAAAAAGGGUUUAAAUAAGAAAAAUAGAAAGAACAAAGAGAAAGAGAGGAACGAUCGAUCGAGAGAGAGGGAAAGAACGCGAGGAAAGCAAAGCUUUGGGGAAAGUAGAUUGCUUGAUCACAAUUCUUCGGUGGAGGUAGAUUAUGGUUUAUGCUAUUCAUAGUAAACUCUUAAUAGCGAAUGAUAUGUAUUGGGUAGUAUUAUAAAGUCUUCUAUGUGCUUAAUUGUGUGCUUGCAUGAUAUGAAUAUUCUAAUUGUGAUGAAUUAGCAUGAUGAGGCUGUUGAAUCUUAAACCCUAAUCUACUUUGUUAAUGAUAAUGCCUUGGUCUAAAAGAAGGCUUGAUGGACUAAAGUAGUGAGAUUAGGGGAUCGGGUGUCACGUUCCGACACCAGGAUAGUAAUAGAGGAUCGGGUGUCACGUUCCGACACCAGGAUAGUAUAUGAGGAUCAGAGUGUCACGUUCCGACACCAGGAUAGUAUAUGGAUUGGGUGUCACGUUCCGACACCAGGAUAGUAUAUGAAUCGGGUGUCACGUUCCGACACCAGGAUAGUAUAUGAGGAUCGGAGUGUCACGUUCCGACACCAGGAUAGUAUAUGAGGAUCGGAGUGUCACGUUCCGACACCAGGGUAGUAUAUGAGGAUCAGAGUGUAGCGUUCCGACACCGGGAUAGUAUAUGGAGCGGAGUGUCACGUACCGACACGAGAGGAAUAAAGAUAAUGAAUCUUGAAAUAUGCUAAUAUACUUAAUCUAAAGAACUAAUUCCCAAAUGAGUAUGGUGUGGAGGCUUGAGUCCUCAUUGAUGUGAGUAGUGUUGUUGCAAAUGAUUCUUAUGCGUAAUGCUAUCACCUGUUAAGUAUUUGAUUGGUUUUAUGUUAUUAUCUGAUAUAUACUGUUUUCUAUUUUGAGUUGGCCGAUGAUACCUACUCAGUACUUGUGUUUUGUACUGACCACUACUUGUAUUCUUUUUCUUUGUUAAUUGUGGAGUGCAGCAAACAUACCGUCGUCUUCAACUCAACCGCAACUCUAGUCAGUCUUCAUCAAGCCAGAUUUCAGGGUGAGCUAUUGCUUCUAGCUUGGACUAGAUCUUCCUCUUCAUGUCUUGAUGCCUUGAAAUCCCGGCAUGGACUAGCUUUUUACUUAUUUUAGCUUCUUAGAAUACUCUUAGUUUAGUAAUUUGAGGAUAGAUGUUCUUUUGGUGAUGACUUCCAGAUUCUGGGGGAAAAUGAUUGAUAAAUUUAGAAGUUAUUUAAUUGGUUUUGUUAAUGAGUUUUAAGUCUUCCGCAUUGUAUUUUGUUCAUUAUGUUUGAAAUGUUGGGGUUUAGAUUGGUUGGUUCGCUCACAUAGUUGGAUAAGUGUGGGUGCCACUCACGGCUCGUUUUGGGUCGUGACAAACUUGGUAUCAGAGCAUUAGGUUCGUUGGUCUCAUCACACAAGAACGAGUCUAGUAGAGUCUUAAGGAAUGGUAGGGGGACGCCUUUACUUUUCUUUGAGAGGCUAUAAGACUUUAGGAAAAUUCUAUUCUUUCUUUCUUUCUUUCGUGCUAUUACUUGGAUCCAAUUGGUAUCUAGGUGAUACAAAUUGGUAUCGGACCAUCUUCACUCUAUUUCACAGAUGCUUAGAACUAGAGCAACAACCGCGCCAACACCAACACCGGCAAGACAAGAUGCAACUGAGCCAGCCACUGGGGCUGUAGCUCGAGGAGGAUUAGUGGCAAGAGACCGUGGUAGAGGUCGCGGGAGGAUGUCCUCUGGAGGAAGAGGAUCAGCACCUGGCCCAUCUAGUACUAGGGCAGAAACUCCUCCACCGACGGAGGAGGUAGUAAGAGAGGGUGAGGAAGGGGAGAAUGAACAAGUGCAGAAUGAGGAAUUACCACCCCAACCUACCCCAGAGAUGAUUAAUCAGGUUCUUGCUUAUCUUAGUGGGUUAUCUGAUCAAGGCCAGACACUUCCAGUGUUUUCUGCACCAGCCCCUCAGGUUCCGAAAGUACGACAGGCCGCUGCAGAGGCUCCCCGUAUGGAUGCCUCAUUGGAAAUAGGCAUGUUCCCUCGUUUGACUACAGGGCCCACAAUGACAAGUGAUCAGCAUAACUUUUCAGUAAGUUCUUGAAAUUGAAACCUCCAGUCUUUAAGGGUGCUGAAUCUGAGGAUGCCUAUGAUUUUCUGGUCGACUGUCAUGAGUUGCUACAUAAGAUGGGCAUAGUGGAACGAUUUGGCAUCGAGUUUGUAACCUAUCAAUUUCAGGGAAAUGCCAAAAUGUGGUGGCGGUCACAUGUUGAGUGUCAACCCGCACAGGCACCACCUAUGACUUGGGCAUCAUUCUCUAUCUUGUCUAUGGAGAAGUAUAUCCCCCGAACCUUGAGGGAUAGGGGGAGAGAUGAGUUCUUGAGCCUAGAGCAAGGUAGGAUGUCGAUUACUGCGUAUGAGGCUAAGUUUCGUGCAUUAUCCAGGUAUGCCACCCAACUUUGUUUUAGUCCACUAGAGCGAAUUCGCUGUUUUGUGAUGGGGUUGAGGUCAGAAUUGUGGAUUUCAGCCUUACAGGUAGCGGCUACAGCAAAAUCCUUUCAAGAAGUGGUAGACUUCGUGAUAGAGGUGGAGGGAGUGAAGCCACAUGACUUCACCAUGGCAUCGACAUCAAAAAGGUUUCGUAAGGGAGGUGAGUUUAAUGGUUCUUACUCUAGAGGGCAGGGUUCAGGAGGUUAUCCAGUCCGACCCAUUCAGUCUGCGCUACAGGCUGUAGUUGAGGGUCCACCUCAGACCAGUCAACAUUUCUCUGAGGUUGGAGGUUAUUCCCAAACUUCGUCAUUCUCACAGAUACCGAUGCUUGAAUCCAGAGAGUGUUAUGGAUGUGGGGAGACUAGACACAUUAAGAGGUAUUGUCCAAAACAGAGUUACAUACUUCCCAUAGUCAGAGGUAGAGGUGCUCAUGGAGAGGCCUUCAUUCUGGAGGACGUGGUGGUCGAGGUAAUGGUGGUCACCAAAAUGGCCGGGGUGACGGGCAAACUGGAGCCACUACAGCACAACAUGGUAGGGGCAACGGGCAGACAGGCGAUAGGGCCCAUUGUUACGCUUUCCCCGGGUGGUCUGUAGCGGCGACAUCUGAUGGUGUUAUCACAGGUAAUCUUUUGGUUUGUGAUUGCAUGGCUUCUAUAUUAUUUGAUCCCGGCUCCACAAUUUCAUAUGUAUCUUCCUCAUUUGUUACUGGUCUUAAUUUACCUUGUGAAUUGCUUGACAUGCCUAUUCGUGUGUCAACUCCGGUGGGUGAGUCUGUGAUAGUUGAAAGGGUAUAUAGGUCUUGUCUGGUGACGUUUGUGGGGAGCAAUACUCAUGUAGACUUGGUUAUCUUAGAAAUGGUCGACUUUGAUGUAAUUCUGGGUAUGACUUGGCUUUCUCCGAAUUUUGCGAUCUUAGAUUGUAAUGCAAAAACUGUAACAUUGGCCAAGCCUGGGACAGAUCCGUUAGUGUGGGAGGGUGACUACACUUCCACUCCAGUACGUAUCAUCUCCUUUCUUCGUGGUAAGAGAAUGGUUAGUAAAGGGUGUUUAGCUUUCUUGGCACACCUCAGGGAUGAUACUACCCAAGUACCUUCAAUUGAGUCGAUUUUGAUAGUCCGUGAGUUUCUGGAUGUGUUUCCUUCAGACUUUCCUGGUAUGCCACCGGAUAGAGAUAUUGAUUUUUGCAUUGAUCUUGAACCGGGUACCGCUCCAUUUCCAUACCCCUUUAUAGAAUGACUCCCGCUGAGUUUAGGGAUUUAAAGGCUCAACUUCAGGAACUGUUAGGUAAAGGCUUCAUUAGACCAAGUGCAUCCCCAUGGGGUGCUCCUGUUUUUGUUUGUGAAAAAGAAGGAUGGAAGCUUUCGGAUGUGCAUAGAUUACAGACAACUGAAUAAGGUAACUGUUAAGAACAAGUAUCCUCUUCCUCGCAUUGAUGAUUUGUUCGAUCAAUUACAAGGUGCUUGUACCUUCUCAAAAAUCGAUUUGAGAUCCGGUUACCAUCAAUUGAAAAUACGGGCAACAGAUGUGCCCAAGACUGCUUUUCGGACAAGGUAUGGACAUUAUGAGUUCUUAGUAAUGUCUUUUGGGCUUACGAAUGCCCCUGCUACUUUCAUGAGCUUGAUGAAUGGGAUUUUUAAGCCAUAUCAGGAUCUCUUUGUCAUUGUAUUCAUUGAUGAUAUAUUGGUAUACUCAAAGAGCAAGAAGGAACAUGAGGAGCACUUGAGAAUUGUAUUGGAAAUGUUGAGGGAGAAAAAGCUUUAUGCCAAAUUCUCCAAGUGUGAGUUUUGGCUAGAUGCAGUGUCCUUCUUGGGGCAUGUGGUUUCUAAGGACGGAGUGAUGGUGGAUCCUUCUAAGAUUGAGACAGUGAAGAAUUGGGUAAGACCUACUAAUAUGUCAGAAAUAAGGAGCUUUGUUGGUUUAGCCAGCUACUACCGUCGAUUUGUCAAGGGAUUCUCUUCUAUUGCUUCCCAAUUGAAAAAUUUAACCAAGCAGAGUGUCCCAUUUUUAUGGUCGGAUGAGUGCGAAGAAAGCUUUCAGAAGCUCAAAACCUUGUUGACUACUGCACCAAUUCUUACCCUGCUAGUGGAAGGUAAGAAUUUUAUCAUUUAUUGUGAUGCAACCUAUUCUGGCUUGGGUGCAGUGCGAAUGCAAGAGAAGAAUGUAAUUGCUUAUGAUUCAAGGAAAUUAAAGGUGCACGAACGUAAUUACCCGACCCAUGAUUUGGAGUUGGCCGCGGUAGUGUUUGUAUUAAAACAAUGGAGGCACUAUCUAUAUGGAGUUAAGUGUGAAGUCUAUACGGAUCAUCGUAGCCUACAGUAUGUCUUUACUCAAAAAGAUUUGAAUUUGAGACAGAGGAGAUGGAUGGAACUACUGAAGGACUACGAUAUUACUAUUUUGUAUCAUCCGAGAAAAGCUAAUGUUGUGGCAGAUGCUUUAAGUAGAAAGGCAGGAAACAUGAGUGUAACGACCUGUUUAGUCGUUUUGAGCAGCAGAUUUUAUUUCUGGAAAAACAGGCUGAGACGACGGAACCCAUGAAGGACCGUCAUGGGCACGACGGACCGUCGCAGGGUCUCGUUUCAAAACACUUAGAAAAUCUGAAAUUGGGUACUGAAAAUCGACUCUCUGAACUUCGUAACGGAAUGGCAGGACGGACCGUCACAUACCCUUCAGAGAAAUUGAGUCUCUGAAGUCUGUGACGGAGCAGCAGGACGGACCGUCACAGGCACGACGGGCCGUCACAGGCUGCGUAGCCCCAGGAUGGGGCGGAUUUCUGUAAUUUUUUCAAGGGGCGUUGUUUACUAUUCCUGCUUUAAUCAUAAAGUUAGUGGUUUAAUGUUAAUAAGUCUAAUUACUUGGGGGUUAAAAGAGGUAACCUUAAGUUAAUUAGUGGGUUAUUAUUGCCAUCUUUUAUUCUUAAAUAUAUACUAAUUAGGGUAAAAGAAAGAGGGUUUGAAUAAAGAAAAUAGAAAGAACAAAGAGAAGGAAAGAAAAACGAUAGAGAGAGGAUCGAACGAGAGGAAAAACACAAAGCUUGAGAAAUCGCUUGCUUGAUCACGAAUCUUCGCUGGAGGUAGGUUAUGGUUUAUGCUAUUUGAUAGUAAACUCUUAAUAGCGAAUGAUACGUAUUGGUAGUAUUGUAAACCCUCCUAUAUGCUUAAUUGUAUGCCUGCAUGAAUGUGAUUAUGUAAUUGUGAUAAAAUAAGCAUUAUGAAACUAUUGAAUCCCAAAUCUUGAUAAAAACCUAAUCUCUUGUUAAUGAUGCUGUCUUGGUAUAAAAGAAGGCUUGAUGAACUAAAGUAAUGAGAUUGAUGAUGCCUUUGUAUAAGAGAAGGCUUGAUAAAUUGAUAGGAUGAGAUUAGGGGAUCGGGUGUCACGAACCGACAGGUAGAUUUAGAGGAUCGAGUGUCACGAACCGACACAUAGAUUUAGGGGAUCGGGUGUCAUGAACUGACACGUAGAUUUAGGGGAUCGGGUGUCACGAACCGACACGUAGAUUUAGGGGAUCGGGUGUCACGAACCGACAUGUAGAUUUAGGGGAUCGGAGUGUCACGUUCCAACACAUAGUAGUAGGGGAUCGGAGUGUCACGUACCGACACAAGAGGAAUAAAGAUAAUGAAUCUUGAAAGAUGUUAAUAUACUCAAUCUAAUGAAUCUAAUUCGCAAAUGAGUAUGGUAUUGAGGCUUGGGUCCUCAUGUGUGAACUUGACGGUAAUUGCUAAUGAUAUGGUACUUGUUGUUGCUACAUGUUGAGUAUCAUAGUUGAUUUUAUGAUAUUACUUGGUAUAUAAUAUUUUCUAUUUUGAGUUGGCCGAUGAUAUCUACUCAGUACCCGUGUUUUGUACUGACCCCCCUACUUUUAUGUUUUCUUCUUGUUUAUUUGUGGAGUGCAGCAAACGUACCAUCAUCUUCAACUCAACCGCAAUUCUAGCCAGUCUUCGUCACAUCGGAUCUUCUGGGUGAGCUAAUGUUUCUAGCUUGGACUGGAUCUUCUUCCUCAUGUCUUGAUGCCUUGAAGUUCCGGCAUGGACUAGCUUUUAUUUGUUUUAGCUUCUUAGAAUACUCUUAGUUUAGUAUUUUGAUCAUAGAUGUUCUUGUGGUGAUGACUUCCAGAUUUUGGGAAUAAUAAUAGUUGUUGAGUUUUUAGAAGUUAUUGAAUUGGUUUUUAUUAAUGAGUUAAGUCUUCCGCAUUACUUUCUGUUGAUAUUAUAUUGAAAUGUUAAGGUUUAGAUUGGUUGGUUCGCUCACAUAGGAGGGUAAGUGUGGGUGCCAGUCGCGACCCGAUUUGGGUCGUGAAAAUGGGAAGUCUAGCUCACUUGCAAGUUUCUAGAAUCCCAUUGGCUAGAGAGGUUCAGACUCUGGCUAAUGACUUUGUGAGAUUAGAAGUAAAUGAGAAGGGAGGAUUUUUGGCCUGUGUGGAGGCAAUAUCUUCCUUUCUUGACAAGAUUAAGGGAAAGCACUUUACUGAUGAGAAACUAAUUUGGAUCCGAGAUAAAGUGUUGCGAGGAGAGGCUAAAGAAGCACAAAUCGAUGAGGAAGGUGUUUUGAGAAUUAAGGGAAGAGUAUGUGUACCCCGCGUCGAUGAUUUGAUUCACACUAUUCUUACAGAGGCUCAUAGUUCAAGGUAUUCUAUACAUCCUGGUGCAACCAAGAUGUACCGUGACCUAAAAUAACACUUUUGGUGGAGUAGAAUGAAGCGUGACAUUGUUGAUUUUAUUGCCAAAUGUCCAAAUUGUCAGCAAGUAAAAUAUGAACACCAGAGGCCCGGAGGAACACUUCAGAGAAUGCCCAUUCCUGAAUGGAAGUGGGAAAGAAUUGCAAUGGAUUUCGUGGUUGGUCUUCCCAAGACAAUGGGUAAGUAUGACUCCAUUUGGGUAAUUGUUGACAGGUUAACUAAGUCUGCUCACUUCAUUCCGGUCAAGGUGACUUACAAUGCAGAGAAGUUAGCCAAACUUUACAUCUCAGAAGUUGUUCGAUUGCAUGAAGUUCCACUUUCCAUUAUAUCAGAUAGAGGUAUGCAGUUUACUUCUAAGUUCUGGAAAACAUUGCAUGCUGAGUUAGGUACUAGGUUGGAUCUUAGUACCGCAUUUCACCCUCAGACCGAUGGUCAGUCUGAACGAACGAUUCAAGUGUUGGAGGAUAUGUUUCGUGCAUGUGUGAUAGAAUUUGGUGGCCAUUGGGAUAACUUCUUACCCUUAGCAGAAUUCUCAUACAAUAAUAGCUAUCACUCAAGUAUUGGUAUGGCCCCAUUUGAGGCACUGUAUGGGAGGAGAUGUAGGUCUCCCAUUGGUUGGUUUGAUGCAAUUGAGGUUAGACCUUGAGGUACUGACCUUCUGAGGGAAUCGUUAGAUAAAGUGAAAUGCAUUCAAGAAAAGCUUUUAGCGGCUCAAAGUAGGCAGAAGGAAUAUGCAGAUCGAAAGGUUAGAGACUUGGAGUUUAUGGAGGGUGAGCAAGUCUUGCUGAAGGUUUCGCCCAUGAAAGGGGUGAUGCGGUUUGGUAAGCGAGGUAAGCUUAGCCCAAGGUAUAUUGGUCCCUUUGAAGUUCUGAAGCGCGUGGGGGAGGUAGCUUAUGAAUUAGCCUUGCCUCCAGGGCUGUCAGAAGUGCAUCCGGUAUUUCAUGUGUCUAUGUUGAAAAGAUACCAUGGAGAUGGAAACUACAUCAUUCGUUGGGAUUCAAUUCUGCUUGAUGAGAAUUUGUCUUAUGAAGAGGAACCUGUUGCUAUUUUAGAUAGAAAAGUCCGCAAGUUGAGGUCGAGGGAAAUUGCAUCCAUCAAGGUUCAAUGGAAGAAUCGACCGGUUGAAGAGUCCACUUGGGAGAAGGAGGCUGAUAUGCAAGAAAGAUACCCACAUCUGUUUACAUAUUCAGGUACUCCUUUUCGCCCUUGUUUCUCUUCUUGUGAUCGUUCGAGGACGAACGAUUGGUAAAUUGAUAUCUAUUGUAAUGACUUGUUUAGUCGUUUUGAGCAGCAGAUUUUAUUUCUGGAAAAACUUGCAGAGACGACGGAUCCCACGACGGACCGUCAUGGCACGACGGACCGUCGAGGGGGUCUCGUUCCAAAACACUUAGAAUUCUGAAAUUUGGAUACUGAAAUCGACUCUCUGAACUUCGUGACGGAAUGGCAGGACGGACCAUCGUGGGCACGACGGACCAUCACACAUUUUCCACACAAAUUAUCUCUCUGAACUUUGCGACGGACCUGCACGACGCACCGUCACACACAUGACGGACCGUCACAGGUUGCGUAACCCAGGCUGGAUCGGAUUUCUAUUAAAAGUUUUUAAGGGGCGUUUUGGACUAUUCCUGCUAUAAUUAUAAAUUUAGUGGGUUAAUGUUAAUAAUUUAACUACUUGGGGGUUAAAAGAGAUAACCUUGAAAUAAAUAAUGGGUUAAUUCAUCAUCUUUUAAACUUAAUUAUAUGUUAAUUAGGGUAAAAGAAAAAAGGUUUGAAUAAGAAAAAUAGAAAGAACAAAGAGAGAGAGAGGAACGAUCGAUCGAGAGAGAGGGGAAGAACGCGAGGAAAGCAAAGCUUUGGGGAAAGUAGAUUGCUUGAGCACAAUUCUUCGGUGGAGGUAGGUUAUGGUUUAUGCUAUUCAUAGUAAACUCUUAAUAGCGAAUGAUAUGUAUGGGUAGUAUUAUAAAGUCUUCUAUAUGCUUAAUUAUGUGCUUGCAUGAUAUGAAUAUUCUAAUUGUGAUGAAUUAGCAUGAUGAGGCUGUUGAAUCUUAAACCCCAAUCUACUUUGUUAAUGAUGAUUCCUUGGUAUAAAAGAAGGCUUGAUGAACUAAAGUAGUUUGAUUAGGGGAUCGGAUGUCACGUUCCGACACCAGGAUAGUAAUAGAGGAUCGGGUGUCACGUUCCGACACCAAGAUAGUAUAUGAGGAUCGGAGUGUCACAUUCCGACACCAGGAUAGUAUAUGGAUCAGGUGUCACGUUCCGACACCAGGAUAGUAUAUGAGGAUCAGAGUGUCACGUUCCGACACCAGGAUAGUAUAUGGACCGGGUGUCACAUUCCGACACUAGGAUAGUAUAUGAGGAUCGGAGUGUCACGUUCCGACACCAGGAUAGUAUAUGAGGAUCGGAGUGUCACGUUCCGACACCAGGGUAGUAUAUGAGGAUCGGAGUGUCACGUUCCGACACCAGGAUAGUAUAUGGAGCGGAGUGCCACGUACCGACACGAGAGGAAUAAAGAUAAUGAAUCUUGAAAUAUGCUAAUAUACUCAAUCUAAAGAACUAAUUCCCCAAUGAGUAUGGUGUGGAGGCUUGAGUCCUCAUUGAUGUGAUUAGUGUUGUUGCAAAUGAUUUUUAUGCGUAAUGCUAUCACCUGUUAAGUAUUUGAUUGGUUUUAUGUUUAUUAUCUGAUAUAUACUGUUUUCUAUUUUGAGUUGGCCGAUGAUACCUACUCAGUACUUGUGUUUUGUACUGACCCCUACUUGUAUUCUUUUUCUUUGUUAAUUGUGGAGUGCAGCAAACGUACCGUCGUCUUCAACUCAACCGCAACUCUAGCCAGUCUUCAUCAAGCCAGAUUUCAGGGUGAGCUAUUGCUUCUAGCUUGGACUGGAUCUUCAUAUUCAUGUCUUAGAAUACUCUUAGUUUAGUAAUUUGAGGAUAGAUGUUCGUGGUGAUGACUUCCAGAUUCUGGGGAUAAAUGAUUGAUAAAUUUUAGAAGUUAUUUAAUUGGUUUCGUUAAUGAGUUUUAAGUCUCCGCAUUGUAUUUUGUUCAUUAUGUUUGAAAUGUUGGGGUUUAGAUUGGUUGGUUCACUCACAUAGUAGGAUAGUGUGGGUGCCACUCGCGGCUCGUUUUGGGUCGUGACACUUUAUCCACAAAAUUCGCAAGACUUGUAUGUCUCUGAUGUUAUUCACUCUAAUAUCAUUGAUAUUUAUCAUAUAUUAUUAUAAGUGGGAAGAGUUUGAUCAAAAAGUUGAUUUACCAUUUUAACCCUACAGUUUUAAUAAAUAUUAACUUAUUAUAAAUUAUCUGAUAAUUCCAGACCUAAUUUAUACCCCAGAAACCAAUUGUUGCUCAGAAUCAUGGUUUAACGUAAAAGAAACAUAGAGUUUGUGCUCAAAUCGUUCAUCAGCCUCAUCGUUCAACGUAACAGAAACGUAGAGUUUUUGUUCAAACUCCUCGAUCAGUGCAACAAACCUUUUCAGACGCUCAACUUUAGCUGAUCGAAAGGCUUUUCAGAUACUUCUGGCGUCUAUACAAAUGUCACCAACAACUUGUUAUUGCCCAUUAAUAUGUUACUCUUUAUGUGCUCAAUCAAGUAUAUCAUUGUCAGGUAAGAACAAAUUUCUCCUCGAUUGUUGUUUAAUCAAUAGCACAGUUAAUAAAGUACUCCGUCACUGUAGUUUAAUCAAUAAGUACGAUCAGUAAAGUAAAAAUUUCUAUGUUUUACUUCUUGAUUCUGCUUGAAAGCAUGCAUUUUAAGUCCAUAUCAAUUUAUUUUCUUUGUGGUCCGCAUGUCUCAAAUCUCUGUCAAAUACGAAAGGUGUUAGCAAUGUUGUGUGUAAUGGUUGUCUUUGAUAUGCAACUUUGGAAUAUGAUCCUGCCGGUUCAGGUAGUCCUGAAAACUACAUUGUGAUUUUAAUGGAGGAACUUUUUUUAAUUGUUUCAGAAGGAGCUUGUCAUUGGUUUGUCUUCCUCCCAUUUUUACUAAUUAAUAUAAGUUUAUUUGUUAAAAUUGUCGAUAUUAUGUCAAUGUUGAAGUCCUUUUUUUUGUUUAAAUUACUAAGUUUGUGUGUUAAGUCUUUGGUAUAUUCAUUGCAAUUUCUCUAUUAUCUCCAUCUAAACAACCAUUUAGGGGACCACAUGGACAGGUGACUUCCAAUUUUUCUCUAUAUAAAUAGAACCCAGGAGAUACAAAGUUGCCACCCUUAAAUAAUAUAAACAUAUACUAUAUAAUUUUCCCUAUUAAAUAGUCAAAUAUUAUUUAUUCUUUUAGGCACGUAAUUUUAUAUAUCUUCAAAUUGAUUAAAAAAAUAUUAAUACGUCAUUUUAAAGAUUAUUGUAAUAAUCAAGGUAUGAAUUUAGUGAUCAUAUUCUGUAACAAAUAUUAAAAUAUGCUUACGCAAUAAUUCUUUAAAGUAUUUUUAGGAAGAAAAUAUUAACUAUUCAAAUACAUUUUAUAUUAAAUUAGUUCACAUUUUUCUUUCAAAAACAUGUCAAGCAAGCUUAUCAUUUAUUAUUGUUUGUAAAAAAGUUAAUUAAUAGAAACUCUUCAUUUUAACACAAUUAUAAGAAUAUCUUUAUGGACCAAUGUUCAAAGUAAGACAUGUAUGGAUUCUUCUAGAUUUUCAUUUUGAUCAUUAAUUAUACAAUUAUUAUUUCACCCUUAAAUUAUAUAAAAAUUACCAAAACGCCAUUGUUUAAUAGAUAUUUUUGGUUUAAUAAAAAUUUCACACUACAAAAAAAUUCUAUAGAAAAUGUAAAUCCAAAUAAAAUGUCACAUCAUUAGGAUACACAUGUCAUUUAAGAAAAAAAAUUUUGGUUGUAUUGUUAUUAUAAAUCUUUUACCACCUUUUUGAUUCCAUAACAUAAAAAAAUAUUCUAGAAUAUUUAUGAAAUGACAAAAUUGUCCUUGAUCGUCCUCAACUUGGCUCUUCUAUAUGAGAAGGUCAAUCCGUAGUUUAUCAAUUGUGAAAGUUUCUUAAGUAUAUAAUAUAUGAUUCUACGACAAAUUAAAUUUUGAUCCCAUAUAUUUAUACUAUUUGAAAAUUUAUCCAUUUAAAUGAUUAUGUAUUUUCUUAACUAUAAUUACUGUAACGACCUGUUUAGUCGUUUUGAGCAGCAGAUUUCAAUUCUGGAAAAACUGGCAGAAGCGACAGACCCCACGACGGACCGUCAUGGGCACGACGGACCGUCGCAGGGUCUCGUUUCAAAACACUUAGAAAAUCUGAAAUUGGGUACUGAAAAUCGACUCUCUGAACUUCGUUACGGAAUGGCAGGACGGACCGUCACAGGUGUGACGGACCAUCACAGACUCUUCAGAGAAAUUGAGUCUCUGACCUCUGUGACGGGCAGCAGGACGGACCGUCGCAGGCACGACGGGCCGUCACGGACUGCGAAAUCCCAGUCUGGGUUGGAUUUCUUUACACGUUUUAAGGGACGUUUUGGACUAUUCCUACUUUAAUUAUAAAGUUAUAGGGUUAAUGUUAAUAAGUCUAAUUACUUAGGGGUUAAAAGAGGUAACCUUAAGCUAAUUAGUGGGUUAUUAUUGCCAUCUUUUAUUCUUAAAUAUAUACUAAUUAGGGUAAAAGAAAAGAGUUUUGAAUAAAGAAAAUAGAAAGAAAGAAAGAGAGAGAAGGGAAUCGAUAGAGAGAGAGACGAUCGAGAAGGGGAAAAACACAAAGCUUUGGGAAAAUUUUCUUGCUUGAUCACGAAUCUUCGGUGGAGGUAGGUUAUGGUUUUCAUGCUUUCAUAGUAAACUCUUAAUAGAGAAUGAUAUGUAUUGAUAGUAUUGUAAACCCUGCUAUGUGCUUAAUUGUAUGCAUGCAUGAACGUGAUUAUAUAAUUGUGAUUAUAUUAAGCAUGAUGAAGUUAUUGAAUCUCAAAUCUUGAUAAAAACCUAAUCUCUUUUUAAUAAUGAUGCCUUGAUAAGGGAGAAGGCUUGAUGAACUAAAGUAAUGAGAUUGAUGAUGCCUUGGUAUGGGAGAAGGCUUGAUGAGUUGAUAGAAUUAGAUUAGGAGAUCGGGUGUCACGAACCGACACGUAGAUUUAGGGGAUCGGGUGUCACGAACCGACACGUAGAAUUAGGGGAACGGUUGUCACGAACCGACACGUAGAUUUAGGGAAUCGGAUGUCACAAACUGACACGUAGAUUUAGGGGGGAUCCACGAACCGACCACGUAGAUUUAGGGGAUGGGGUCAUGUGACAUGAACGAUUUAGGGAUCGGGUGUCACAACCGACACGUAGAUUUAGGAGAUCGGAGUGUCACGUACCGACACAAGAGGAUUAAUGAAUAUGAGGGAGCAGAGUGUCACGUACCAACACAAGAGAAAUAAAGAUAAUGAAUCUUGAAAGAUGUUAAUAUAUUCAAUCUAAUGAACAUAAUUCCCAAAUGAGUAUGGUAUUGAGGCUGAGUCUCGUGUGUGAAAUUGACGGUAAUUGUUAAUGACAUAGUACUUGCUGUUGCUACAUGUUGAGUAUCAUAGUUGAUUUUAUGAUAUUACUUGGUAUAUAUUGUUUUCUAUUUUGGGUUGGCCGAUAAUAUCUACUCAGUACCCGUGUUUGAACUGACCCCUACUUUUAUGUUUUCUUCUUGUUAUUUGUGGAGUGCAGCAAACGUGCCGUCGUCUUCAACUCAACAGUAAUUCUAGCCAAUCUUCGUCACACCGGAUCUUCAGGGUGAGCUAACGCUUCUAUCUUGGACUGGAUCUUCUCCUUCAUGUCUUGAUGCCUUGAACUUCCGGCAUGGACUAGCUUUUAUUUGUUUUAGCUUUUUAGAAUACUCUUAGUAGUACUUUGAUCAUAGAUGUUCUUGUGGUGAUUACUUCCAGAUUUUGGGGAAUAAUAGAUGUUGAAUUUUAGAAGUUAAUGAAUUGGUCUUUAUUUAAUGAGUUUAAGUCUUCUGCAUUACUUUCUGUUGAUAUUAUAUUGAAAUGUUAAGGUUAGAUUGGUUGGUUCGCUCACAUAGGAGGGUAAGUGUGGGUGCCAGUCGCGGCCCGGAUUUGAGUCGUGACAAACUUGGUAUCAGAGCAUUAGGUUCGUUGGUCUCAUCACACAAGAACGAGUCUAGUAGAGUCUUAAGGAACGGUAGGGGGAUGCCUUUACUUUUCUUUGAGAGGCUAUAAGACUUUAGGAAAAUUUCAUUCUUUUCUUUCGUGCUAUUACUUGGGUCCAAUUGGUAUCUAGGUGAUACAAAUUGGUAUCUGACCAUCUUCACUCUAUUUUGCAGAUGGUUAGAACUAGAGCAACGACUACGCCAACACCAACACCAACACCAGCGGGACAGGGUGCAUCUGAGCCAGCCACUGGGCUAUAGCUCGAGGAAGAGCAGCGGCAAGAGGCCGUGGUAGAGGUCGUGGAGGACGUCCUCUAGGGGAAGAGGACGAGCACCUAGCCCAUCUGAUACUAGGGCAGUGACUCCUCCACCGACUGAGGAAGUAAUAAGGGAAGGGGAGGAUGGGGAAAACGAACAAGUGCAGAAUGAGGGAUUGCCACCCCAACCUACCCCAGAGAUGAUAAAUCAGGUGCUCGCUUAUCUUAGUGGGUGGUCUAAUCAGGGUCAGGCACCUCCAGUGUUUUCUGCACCAACUUCUCCGGUUUCAGAGGUACAACAUGCAACCACUAUGGCUCCUCGUAUGGAUGCCUCAUUGGACAUAGGCACGUUUCCACGUCUGACUACAAGGCCUAUAAUGACAAAUGAUCAGCAUGAACUUUUCAGUAAGUUCUUGAAAUUGAAACCUCCAGUCUUCAAGGGUGUUGAAUCUGAGGAUGCUUACGAUUUUCUGGUUGACUAUCAUGAGCUACUACACAAGAUGGGUAUAGUAGAACGGUUUGGUGUUGAGUUCGUGAGUUAUCAGUUUCAAGGGAACGCCAAAAUGUGGUGGUGGUCACAUGUUGAGUGUCAACCAACAGAGGCACCACCUAUGACUUGGGCCUCAUUCUCUAACUUGUUUAUGGAGAAGUAUAUCCCCGGACUCUGAGGGAUAGGAAAGGGAUGAGUUCUUGAGCCUAGAGCAAGGUAGGAUGUCGGUCAAUGCAUAUGAGGCUAAGUUUCGUGCACUAUCCAGAUAUGCCACCCAACUUUGUUUCAGUCCACAAGAGCGGAUUCGUCGUUUUGUGAAGGGGUUGAGGUCAAAGUUGCGGAUUUUAGCCUUACAGGUAGCGGCUACGACAAAAUCCUUCCAAGAAGUGGUAGAUUUCGUGGUAGAGGUGGAAGGAGUGAAGCCAGAUGAAUUCACCAUGGCAUCGACAUCAAAAAGGUUUCGAAAGGGAGGUGAGUUUAAUGGUUUUUACUCUAGAGGACAGGGUUCCAGAGGUUACUCAGUUUGACCCAUUCAGUCUUCACUACAGACUGUAGUUGGGGGUCCACCUCAGACCGGUCAAACUUCUCUAAGAGACCUAUGCUUGACUCUAGAGAGUGCUAUGGAUGUGGGGAGACUGGACAUAUUAGGAGAAAUUGUCCAAACAGAGUUAUAGACCCCCAAUUGCUAGAGGUAGAGGUGGUCAUGGUAGAGGUCGUUAUUCUGAGGACGUGGUGGUCGAGGUAAUGGUGGUCACCAAAAUGGCCGAGGUGAUGGGCAAACUGGAGCCACUACAUCACAACAUGGUAGGGGCAAUGGACAGACAAACGAUAGGGCCCAUUGUUACGCUUUCCCUGGGCGGUCUGAAGCGGAGGCAUCUGAUGCUGUCAUCACAGGUAAUCUUUUGGUGUGUGAUUGCAUGGCUUCUGUAUUAUUUGAUCCUGGAUCCACAUUUUCUUAUGUAUCUUCCUCAUUUGCUAAUGGUCUAAAUUUACAUUGUGAAUUACUUGAUAUGCCUAUUCGUGUUUCUACUCCGGUGGGUGAGUCUGUGGUAGUUGAAAAGGUAUAUAGGUCUUGUUUGGUGAACUUUGUGGGGAGCAACACUUAUGUAGAUUUGGUUAUCUUAGAAAUGGAUGAUUUUGAUGUAAUUCUGGGUAUGACUUGGCUUUCUCCGCAAUUUGCGAUCUUGGAUUGUAAUGCUAAAACGGUGACGUUAGCCAAGCCUGGGACAGAUCCGUUAGUGUGGGAGGGUGACUACACUUCCAAUCCGGUGCGUAUCAUCUCCUUUCUUCGUGCUAAGAAAAUGGUUAGUAAAGGGUGUUUAGCUUUCUUGGCACAUCUCAAGGAUGACACUACCCAAGUACCUUCGAUUGAGUCGGUUUCGGUGGUCCGUGAGUUUCAGGAUGUGUUCCCUGUAGAUCUUCCUGGUAUGCCACCAGAUAGGGAUAUUGAUUUCUGUAUUGACCUUGAACCGGGUACUCGCCCAUUUCUAUACCCCCUUAUAGAAUGGCUCCCGCGGAGUUAAGAGAGUUAAAAGCCCAACUUCAAGAGUUGUUAAACAAAGGCUUUAUUAGACCAAGUGCAUCUCCUUGGGGUGCUCCGGUUUUGUUUGUGAAGAAGAAGGAUGGGAGUUUUCGAAUGUGUAUAGACUACAGACAACUAAACAAGGUAACCAUAAAGAACAAGUAUCCUCUUCCUCGCAUUGAUGACUUGUUCGAUCAGUUACAAGUGCUUGUGUCUUCUCUAAGAUUGACUUGAGAUCCGGUUAUCAUCAAUUGAAAAUACGGGCAACGGAUGUGCCAAAGACUGCUUUUCAAACGAGGUAUGGGCAUUACGAAUUUGUAGUGAUGUCUUUUGGUCUUACGAAUGCCCCUGCUGCGUUCAUGAGCUUGAUGAACGGGAUUUUUAAGCAAUAUUUGGACCUCUUUGUGAUCGUAUUUAUUGAUGAUAUACUGAUAUACUCUAAGAGCAAGAAAGAACAUGAGGAGCAUUUGAGAAUGGUAUUGGAAAUGUUGAGGGAGAAAAAGCUUUAUGCCAAGUUCUCUAAGUGUGAGUUUUGGCUAGAUGCAGUGUCCUUCUUGGGGCACGUGGUUUCUAAGGAUGGAGUGAUGGUGGAUCCUUCUAAGAUUGAGACAGUAAAGAAUUGGGUAAGACCUACUAAUGUGUCAGAAAUAAGGAGCUUUGUUGGGUUAGCUAGCUACUACCGCCGAUUUGUCAAGGGAUUCUCUUCUAUUGCUUCCCAACUGACGAACUUGACUAAGCAAAAUAUUCCAUUUGUAUGGUCGGAUGAGUGUGAGGAAAGCUUUCAGAAGCUCAAGACUUUGUUGACUACCGCACCCAUUCUCACCUUGCCAGUGGAAGGUAAGAAUUUCAUUGUCUAUUGUGAUGCAUCUUAUUCGGGUUUGGGUGCAGUGCUAAUGCAAGAGAAGAAUGUGAUUUCUUAUGCUUCAAGACAAUUAAAAGUGCAUGAACGUAACUAUCCAACUCAUGAUUUGGAAUUGGCCGCGGUAGUGUUUGCAUUAAAGCAAUGGAGACACUAUUUAUAUGGGGUUAAGUGUGAGGUCUAUACGGAUCAUCGUAGCCUACAGUAUGUCUUUACUCAGAAAGAUUUGAACUUGAGACAGAGGAGAUGGAUGGAACUACUGAAGGACUACGAUAUCACUAUUUUGUAUCAUCCGGGGAAGGCGAAUGUUGUAGCGGAUGCUUUAAGUAGAAAGGCGGGAAGCAUGGGAAGUCUAGCUCACUUGCAAGCUUCUAGACGCCCAUUGGCUAGAGAGGUUCAGACUCUAGCUAAUGACUUGAUGAGAUUAGAAGUAAAUGAGAAGGGAGGAUUCUUGGCUUCUGUGGAGGCAAGAUCUUCCUUUCUUGACAAGAUUAAGGGAAGACAGUCUGAUGAUGAGAAACUGCGCAGAAUCCAAGAUAAGGUAUUGCGAGGAGAGGCUAAGGAAGCACAAAUCGAUGAGGAAGGUGUUUUUAGGAUCAAGGGAAGGGUAUGCGUACCCCGCGUCGAUGAUUUGAUCAACACUAUUCUGACAGAGGCUCAUAAUUCAAGGUAUUUGAUACAUCCGGGUGCAGCCAAGAUGUACCGUGACCUAAAGCAACACUUUUGGUGGGGUAGAAUGAAGCGUGAUAUUGUGGAUUUUAUUGCCAAAUGUCCAAACUUCAACAAGUAAAGUAUGAACACCAAAGGCCCGGAGGAACACUUCAGAGAAUGCCCAUUCCGGAAUGGAAAUGGGAGAGAAUCGCAAUGGACUUCUUGGUUGGUCUUCCAAAGACGAUGGGUAAGUAUGAUUCUAUUUGGGUGAUUGUUGAUAGGUUAACUAAGUCUGCUCAUUUCAUUCCGGUCAAGGUGACUUACAAUGCAGAGAAGUUAGCCAAAAUCUAUAUCUCAGAAAUUGUUCGGUUGCAUGGGGUUCCACUAUCCAUCAUCUCAGAUAGAGGUACGCAGUUUACUUCAAAGUUUUGGAGAACAUUGCAUGUUGAAUUAGGUACUAGGUUGGACCUUAGUACCACGUUCCAUCCUCAGACCGAUGGUCAGUCUGAGCGAACGAUUCAAGUGUUGGAGGAUAUGCUUCGCGCAUGUGUGAUAGAGUUUGGAGGCCAUUGGGAUAGCUUCUUGAGCUAUCACUCAAGCAUUGAUAUGGCUCCAUUUGAAGCAUUGUAUGGUAGGAGAUGUAGGUCCCCCAUUAGUUGGUUUGAUGCGUUCGCGGUUAGACCUUGGGGUACUGAUCUCUUGAGGGAUUCGAUGGAGAAGGUGAAAUCUAUUCAAGAAAAGCUUCUAGGGGCGCAAAGUAGACAAAAAGAAUAUGCAGAUCGAAAGGUUAGAGACUUAGAGUUCAUGGAGGGAGAACAUGUCUUGCUGAAGGUUUCGCCCAUGAAAGGGGUGAUGCGGUUUGGUAAAAGGGGUAAGCUAAGUCCAAGGUACAUUGGUCCCUUUGAAGUACUUAAGCGAGUAGGGGAGGUGGCUUAUGAAUUAGCCUUGCCUCCAGGGCUGUCCGGAGUACAUCCGGUAUUCCAUGUGUCGAUGUUGAAAAGAUACCAUGGGGAUGGAAACUACAUUAUCCGUUGGGAUUCAGUUUUGCUUUAUGAGAACUUGUCUUAUGAGGAGGAACCUGUUGCCAUUCUAGAUAGAGAAAUUCGCAAGUUGAGAUCAAGGGAGAUUGCAUCCAUCAAAGUUCAAUGGAAGAAUCGACCCGUUGAAGAAGCCACUUGGGAGAAGGAGGCGGAUAUGCGAGAAAAUACCCACAUCUGUUCACAGAUUUAGGUACUCCUUUUCGCCCUUGUUUUCCUUCUUGUGAUCGUUCGAGGACGAACGAUGGGUAAAUUGGUAUCUAUUGUAACGACCUGUUUAGUCGUUUUGAGCAGCAGAUAUCAAUUCUGGAAAAACUGGCAGAAGCGACGGACCCCACGACGGACCGUCAUGGGCACGACGGACCGUCGCAGGGUCUCGUUUCAAAACACUUAGAAAAUCUGAAAUUGGGUACUAAAAAUCGACUCUCUGAACUUCGUAACGGAAUGGCAGGACGGACCGUCACAGGUGUGACGGACCGUCACAGACUCUUCAGAGAAAUUGAGUCUCUGAACUCUGUGACGGGCCGUCACGGACUGCAAAAUCCCAGUCUGGGUCGGAUUUCUUUACACGUUUUAAGGGACGUUUUGGACUAUUCCUACUUUAAUCAUAAAGUUAGAGGGUUAAUGUUAAUAAGUCUAAUUACUUAGGGGUUAAAAGAGGUAACCUUAAGCUAAUUAGUGGGUUAUUAUUGCCAUCUUUUAUUCUUAAUUAUAUACUAAUUAGGGUAAAAGAAAGAGGGUUUGAAUAAAGAAAAUAGAAAGAACAGAAAGAGAGAGAAGGGAAUCGAUAGAGAGAGAGACGAUCGAGAAGGGGAAAAACACAAAGCUUUGGGAAAAUUUGCUUGCUUGAUCACGAAUCAUCGGUGGAGGUAGGUUAUGGUUUUCAUGCUUUCAUAGUAAACUCUUAAUAGAGAAUGAUAUGUAUUGAUAGUAUUGUAAACCCUUCUAUGUGCUUAAUUGUAUGCAUACAUGAACGUGAUUAUAUAAUUGUGAUUAUAUUAAGCAUGAUGAAGUUAUUGAAUCCCAAAUCUUGAUAAAAACCUAAUCUCUUUUUAAUGAUGAUGCCAUGGUAAGGGAGAAGGCUUGAUGAACUAAAGUAAUAAGAUUGAUGAUGCCUUGGUAUAAGAGAAGGCUUGAUAAAUUGAUAGGAUGAGAUUAGGGGAUCGGGUGUCAUGAACCGACACGUAGAUUUAGGGGAUCGGGUGUCACGAACCGACACGUAGAAUUAGGGGAUCGGAUGUCACGAACCGACACGUAGAUUUAGGGGAUCGGUUGUCACGAACCGACACGUAGAUUUAGGAGAUCGGGUGUCACGAACCGACACGUAGAUUUAGGGGAUCGGGUGUCACGAACCGACACGUAGAUUUCGGAAUCGGAGUGUCACGUACCGACACAAGAGAAAUAAAGAUAAUAAAUCUUGAAAGAUGUUAAUAUACUCAAUCUAAUGAACAUAAUUCCUAAAUGAGUAUGGUAUUGAGGCUUGAGUCCUCAUGUGUGAACUUGACGGUAAUUGUUAAUGAUAUAGUACUUGCUGUUGCUACAUGUUGAGUAUCAUAGUUGAUUUUAUGAUAUUACUUGGUAUAUAUUGUUUUCUAUUUUGGGUUGGCCGAUGAUAUCUACUCAGUACCCGUGUUUGUACUGACCCCUACUUUUAUGUUUUCUUCUUGUUAUUUGUGGAGUGCAGCAAACGUGCCGUCGUCUUCAACUCAACAGUAAUUCUAGCCAGUCUUCGUCACACCGGAUCUUCAGGGUGAGCUAACGCUUCUAGCUUGGACUGGAUCUUCUCCUUCAUGUCUUGAUGCCUUGAACUUCCGGCAUGGACUAGCUUUUAUUUGUUUUAGCUUUUUAGAAUACUCUUAGUUUAGUACUUUGAUCAUAGAUGUUCUUGUGGUGAUGACUUCCAGAUUUUGGGGAGUAAUAGAUGUUGAAUUUUAGAAGUUAAUGAAUUGGUCUUUAUUUAAUGAGUUUAAGUCUUCCGCAUUACUUUCUGUUGAUAUUAUAUUGAAAUGUUAAGGUUAGAUUGGUUGGUUUGCUCACAUAGGAGGGUAAGUGUGGGUGCCAGUCGCGGCCCGGAUUUGGGUCAUGACAAUUACGCGGUCAUUAUUUAUCAAUUCUUACAUUAUCAACUCUAUAUUCUUUUUUUUUAAAUAUCUUUAGAAUUGUGCUAUUUUUUUUCUUAUUUAAGUCACAAUUUUUAAUGAAAAAUAAAUAUUAUGUUGGAGUUAAUAUCGGUUAAAUAAAAUUAUAUGAAUACUUAUGUUUAAAAAACAUAUAUAUAUAAUUAAAAAGUAAAUUACAUACACAGAAUUAAGAUAAAACAAAUAUUAUUUUGGAGAUAAAAUAGGUUAAAUAUAACUAUAUGAAUAUUAUGUUUAAAAAAAUUUAUAUAUAAUUAAAAGAAAAUUACAUACAUGGAAGAUUGUAGGGUUAUACUCAAUAUGUUUCAGUAGUAGUAAUAAAUAUAGAUGAACGAUUUGAAUAGUCAAGAGUAUAAAGGUGAAAAUAUUUUUCACAUUAUUAUUAUAAUCAAACAAAUACAAAUUGAUUUUUAAAAAUAAAAUAAAAUGAGUUUGUGGGCCACACAUGAAACAAAACUUUUUGUGACUCUUGAAAAAGAAAAUUGGAUUCUUCUAGAAAACUAUUUGACAAUUAAUUAUACAAUUAUAAAUUUAGAACUUUGCCCAUAAUAAUGAUUAAAAUUACAAAAUUGUCAUUGGUCGUCCCCAUCAUGGCUCUUCUAUAUAAUAGAAAAAUAAUGAAUUCUAGAAUACUUAUAAAAUGAAAAAAUUGUCCUUGGCCGUACUCAACUUGGCUCUUCUAUAUAAAUACUAGUUAUUAUGUGUCCGCGCCUGCGCAAGUCCUACGUAUAUUAGUUUUUUUCUUUCCAAUUUAUGUGACACAAAUGAAAUUUGAAAAGGUGAACUAAUUUUUUUAUGUGUUUUUCAAAAAAGUAUUUUAAAUUGUUAAUUUAUGGAGUACCUUUUAUGUUAUUUUCGAAUAAUAUAUGUUACUCCAUAUGUUUUAUUUUAUAUGAUACAAGUGAUUUUAGGAAAGUAAACGAAAUUUCUUAUAUGAUUCUCACAUACUUAUAGUUGUCAUUUAUUGUGAUUCAUAGUACUUUUUAGUUCUUACGUUAUUUUCAAACAAUAUAUGCAACUUUUUUUGUUUCGAUAAAAAUAAGGAGUCAACCAAAUUUUAUUAUGUUUUUUAACUAUAUUUUUCUAAAAAUAUCAUACAUUGUUACAUUACAUUUUUAAGCUUCUUUUUUUAAUGUAAUAAAUAGAAACGAAGAAUUAAAGUUUUCAAAUCAUUAUAUUUUUAUAAGCUCAUUUCAAUAAUAACACAUAUAUAUUUCAUUUUUAAUAUGACUCCCUCCUUUUUUUUUAAUUUAUAUGAACUUAUUUUUCAUUUCAUUUCAAAAAGAAAAUAACUUCUGAAUUUUAAUUUUUUUAUAUAUCAUAUUAAAGAUCGGAAAAUUAAAAAAUAUUUCAAUACACAAAAUUUAAUAUAAAUAUAAAUAUAAAUUUUAAUUUUAAUUUUGAUUGGUUCCACCUAAUAUUAUAUUUUAUUUAUAAUUAUUAAGAGCUAAGCUUAAUCAUUAUUUAUUAACUUUCAUAUAAUAAAUAAAUAAAUAUCACAAUAACUCAUAAAAAUGAAUAAAUGACAAAAAUGAGGUAAUAUUGAUGAUAACACCAAAAGACGUUUUUAGAACUAUUUCAUUUUCUCGUUAUCAUUCUUGGUAGAUUUUUGCUUGCAUGAGUUACAUUUUUACCUUUGAUCAUCAUUCGCUUUAUAUAUCGAAAGAUGUUUAUAAAAUUAUUUAUUCUUGAUAGUUUUUUGUCUGAAUGAAUAUCUUUAAUACAAAUUGAUCAUCCUAUUCAUUUUUAUUUGUAAAGUUACUUUUUCUUUACUUUCAAUCUAAUAUAUAUUAUUAAUUUUAACACACCAAUUUAUUUUCAAGCAUAUUAAUUAGAGUCAAAAUAAAGAUUGAAAUAGAAAUAUGUUUCUACAAUUAUUUACUAUCUUUUAAAUACAUUUUUGUUAGAAUGAAAUUACAUUUUUACCCUUGAUCGUCCUACAACUUCACUCUUUUAUAUAAUAGAACUAGAUGACCCAACAAUUUAAAUUUCGGAAAAGGGCCUAAAAUAUCCUCAAAGUAUUGGAAAUGGUACAACAUUACCCUCCAUCCACCUAUUGGCUCCAAAAUACCCUUCUCACCCACCUAUUGGGUCCAAAAUACCCUUGUCAUCCACCUUUUGGUUCAAAAUUGACCACUUAUUUAACAGUUUUAUAUUUAAACUAUUUAAAUAUUUUUUAAAAUACGUGGUGCUCAACUAUAUGUUAUAAUUUAACUUAUUAGUAUAAUUUAUAAAUCAAUCCACUACCCACCCCAUUAAUAAUUAAAUCCCUCUAAAUUAAUGAAUCUGUCACAUUAUUAAUGCAAGCUACUGCCAAUAGAGAGUUUUUAAAAAUUGUAGAAGUAAAUUAUCAUGCAUUCAAGUGGCUAAAUAAAAAUCACCAAUAAACUUAAAAGUCUGACUAUGUUUAUCUUAAUUAUUCUUACGUCUCAAUUAUGUGAUGCUACUUCAUAGGUAAUUUUUUUUUCAAAAUAAUAUAUUAAAGUUUAAAAAAAAUCAUAAAUAUUUAUACAAUUGUCUUUAAAAAAAAUGCAUUAAUCAAUUCGGGAUGCAUUACUUUACCUUUUAAUCAUAAAUUUCUAAUUCUAUUUUGAAAGAAAGUGUCCUUCUAAAUAAGCGGCUUAACCUAAAUUUAAUUGGGGCUCCGAUUCGGACUCGAGUAAUUUUGAAUGUCAUUUUCAGAAAUCUAUAAUUUCACCGUGUUUUAGUAGUGUUUAUGACGAUUUUGAUAUUAUAAUUGGAUUAUUAAUUGGGUGAGGUUUAGUUAGUAAUGAGUGUGUAGUGGUUUGGUUUAUUAAUUAUAUUAAUAAAUUAUAAUUAUAAUCAAUAAUUGAACGCCAAGUAUUUUAAAAAAUAUUUAAAGAGUUUAAUUUUAAAACAAUUAAAAAGUGGUCAAUUUUGAACACAAAGGUGGAUGAAAAGGGUAUUUUGGAGCCAAUAGGUGGAUGAAAAGGGCAUUUUGAAGCCAAUAGGUGGAUGAAGGGUAAUUUUGUACCAUUGUCAAUACUUUAAGGGUAUUUUAGGCCCUUGUCCGUUUAAAUUUUAGUCUACUUAGGAAAUAUGUUCAAGAUCUAACGUAGCAAUGUAACACUUUUAAAUAACCAUAAUUUCAAAAAUACAAUAUACAUUAUCUAGUAACAGAUCAUAUUUCUUAACUUCCACAGUAAGAAAUAUGGGUUCUGUAUAUUCCUCAUAUGCAGUUGUUACAAUUCGUGUGACUUAGGUUAUUCCUAGUCUGUAUAUCACUUAAUUAGGUGUAUUGAGUUAUUUAAAUUCCACUAAAGUUAUGCUAAUUGGAGGAAUUAAGACUUACCCUUAGGUUUAAAUUUUAGAAAAGAAGAUUAUAAGUUAGAUGUGUUGUUGGGUUUAGGAUGCACAUAAAAUAACGUAAGCGUUUAUAGACUCGUUAACUUAUAAAUUAUGCAUAUAUACUUGAUAGAUUGGAAAGAUUCGGAGGCAUUGAGGAAAGAAAAAGUAUUGGAGAAGUAACUUGCUUGACUUCAAUUCUUCGGUGGAGGUAGGUUAUGGUUUAUUUCUAUUUGAUAGAUAAACUCUCAAUAGAGAUUGAUAUGUAUUAAGUGAUAUUGUAAACUAUCCUAUGUACUCGGUUGUGUGGUUGUAUGUCUUGAUUGUGUGGUUUGUGGUUGGCCUAAAAUUAUGAGAUUGUUGUAUUUCUAAUCUUGAACCCUCUCUAGUAAAAUGACGCCUUGAAUAAAGAAGGAUUGAUGAAAUGAAAUAAUAAGAUAAUUGGAUCGGAGUGUCAUGUUUCGACACGGUAUUAUUGGAUCAGAGUGUCACGUUCCGACACGGUAUUAUGGGAUCGGAGUGUCACGUUCCGGCACGGUAUAUGGAUCAGAGUGUCACGUUCCGACACGAUAACAUUAAAGAAAAGGAAUAUUGAAGUAACUUAAUAUACUUAACCUCAAAGAACCAAUCUUUCAAAUGAGUAUGAUGUGGAGACAUGACUCCUCAUAGGUGUGCUUGAUAUCGUGAUUGAUGGUGUACCUGUUACGGUGUUGUUGUCAAUGGUUCAUGUGUUUUGUUGCUUGCCACAUGUUAAGUAUGGUAGUUGAUUUUAUAUUAUUAUUCAAUAUAUAUUGAUUUUUGUUUUGAGUUGACCGAUGAUACUUACUCAGUACAUGUUGCCUCGUACUGAGCCCUGCUUGUUUUCUUCUUUGUUUUCCUUUUAUGGAGUGCAGCAAGUGUACUGAAGAAUUUGAAUCGCCCUCAGCUCUAUCAACUCUCGUCAUAUCAAGUUCAAGGGUGAGCUAUUCAUGCGAGCUUGAGUUGGAUUCUCUCACUCAUUACCUGAUGUCCUUAGUUUUCGGACACGAAUUACUUUAUUUCAUUUAUUUUGGUAUCUUUGGUACUCUUAGACAUAGUAAUUGGAGAUUAGAUGUCCUUGACGUGAUGACUUUCAGAUUUUGGGAAAUGAUGUUUAGUAACAUUUUAGCUUUCGUAUUAUGCUUGUAUUUUGUAAAUUAGAUUAAAUUGGUUGGUUCGCCCACUUAAGAGGUUAAGUGUGAGUUUCAUUCGCGACUCGAUUUGGGUCGUGACAAUAACCAAUAGAUAUUACAAUGACUCAUAAAAAAAAGUGAAUUAAUAACAAAAUAGAUUAAUAGUGAUGACAAUAACUAAAGAUGUUUCUAGAACUAUUUGAUUUUCUUGUUAUCAUUCUUAGUAGAUAUUUGUUAGCGUGAAAUUAUAUUUUUAUCCUUGAUCAUUAUUCACUUCAUAAAUAGAAAUAUAUUUCUAGAAUUAUUUACUAUCUUUUAAAUACAUUUUUGUUAGAAUGAAAUUACAUUUUUACCCUUGAUCGUCCUACCGCUUCACUCUUCGAUAUAAUAGAACUAGAUGGCCCAACAAUUUAAAUUUUAGUCUACUUAGGAAAUAUGUUCAAGAUCUAACGUAGCAAUGUAACACUUUUAAAUAACCAUAAUUUCAAAAAUACAAUAUACAUUAUCUAGUAACAGAUCAUAUUUUUUAACUUCCACAGUAAGAGAAUCCAAGUCAAAUAAGAAACAACCGACGUGCAAUAUCACUUUUCUUUCAAGGUUCAACAAUUAGUUCAACAGUAAGUUGGGUUAGACAUCCACAAUUUGUUAGCCACAUUCAAGUUUAUCAAACAUAUAAUAAGGAGGCAAUCACAUAUCAUUGCAUAAUAAGAUGACAGUCAAAUAUCCUUCCAUAGAUAUUAAAAAUGCAUACAAGAAUCUACUUGUGAAAUGCUGAUCAUUUAUUUUGUGCUACAUAAUUGAGAAUUAAUACGUGAUCAAGUAACUAACACUGCUAUAAAAAGGAGUUAUGUUACCAUCUCAAUAAAAAUUCAAGAAAUAUUGGAGCAAAUAAUGAAGAGGUUGUGGUUGUACUCGAUAAGAUGUGUGAUUAACUUUCCAGACAAUCCUAGACAAUAACUUCCAUCUUCCCUUGCUCAAGAUCAAGCUCAAGCUCAUCAUAGAAGACCUUAUUUUCUUCUUCAUUUUCAAAAAGAUUGGAAAAUACCAUGUAUUGAGCUUUUUUCUCUCAAAUAUCAAAGUGAAGGCCAUAAAAUAUUAAUGAGACAAUAUCAAACUUCACAACAUCAACUCCAAUGAAAAUACAAAUAAGGUGCACCUUUAACUUUAUAUUUUUUUGCAUAAUUAGGUAAUGUGAAAUAAUAGCAGUAAAAUAAACAUGUGCAUACGGACACUAAUUUUCAAUUUUAAGACGGCACACAUGUACUUUAUAAACGUCUUCAUUACAGCCAAAUCGCUCCACUCAUGCUAGAGAAUCAAUCGCUUGCAAAGGAAUUUACAUAUAGAAUUGUGCAUGCAGAUCAAAUGUUUCACAACAGAGUAAGAAAUCUGUAGCUUUCUAAUGCAAAUGUACGUUGAUAUCAAUGAUACUUUGGUAAUGAUUGAGAAGUUAAAUACAAAUGCAGAUACAGAGCCAACUAAACACAUUUAUUUUCUACUUUAUUUUCUCCUUUGUCUUGGAGAGGCAGAUAUACAUACCAUGAGGAAAUUGUAAUUAAUACGUACCUUGAGUGAGGUUGCAUUUCAGCAACAAAGUUAUAAGGUUACAACCAAUCCGUUCCUAGAAAUGGACAGUAAGAAAAUUCUGUUUCUCCUAAGCAAUAAAAAAUAAGAUAAAACAUGAUCUAAUUGAAUCUCUUUUUUAAAAAUAUAGGAACUCUCUCUUUUAAAUGAGGAGAUAUCAAUUACAAAAGAAUAGAGAGAGUAUUGUUCACCACCAACAAGUGUUAAUACUCUUAAAUUAUGAGCAAACUAAAUACUUGAAACAUGUGAUAUGUCCCUGGAAUGAAAAUGAAUGUAAACACACAUAUUAUCAAAUCUAUGGAUCAGAAUUUUAAAUCUCAAUGACCAGAGCCUAUUUCAUUUUGGGCAGAAUUAAGUAUAUCAAGUGGAAAGAAAACACCAAAAUUUCAUUUAUAUUUAAAAGUAAAUAAAUUAAGUUGUAAGGAAAUAUAGAUAUCUAGUGAGCUUAGAGCAAUAAGCAAAAUGAAAUGCAUAAACAGAGAAACAAAGUUUUCACUCAAACUGAAUUUAAAUUUAGUGAAUAUGCUUAGUGGAAAAACAACUAUUCAAGAACAUUCACCAAAGGAGAGAGCCUGUCACUCUUAAAAGAAAUACUAAACUUUCAUUUCCCCGGGAUGGAGCAGUGAGUUACUUACGUUAUUGUCUUCAGCAAGCAGGCUGCGCUCUAGGCUUCUAGGAAGAUGUAGACAUUGAAAUUUUAUGGGACUCUACAAGAUGCGUUCAAUUUGAGUUGAGACUCUACAAAUUGUAUUCGACUCAGAUUUACUCAACCCUUAACCCUAGUUUAUGCCUAUAUAAAGGGUAGUAAAUUCUCUUUAAAGGCAUCUCGGAAAUUACAUAAAGAGAUCAAGAUCUCGAAUACUCCACAAAUUGAUGGAUUAUUCAUAUAGAGAGAGAUCAAAUCUAAAUCAUUCUAGUUUGAGAAAAUACGCCACUAACGCCCUCGAAUCAUGGAUAAAUCCUAGGAGAGUAGAAUCAAGGGAUAAACAGAAUUGUACCCGCAAUCUAUCUUGAUUAAUAAAAUUAAUGUUUCUUCAUAUUUUAUUUGUAUGGUUUAUUUAUUUUCCAUAUGUUUAAAAUUUGUUGCAAAAAGAAGUACAAGUCACUUUUUAGAAGAAAAAACUAAAAGAAAAUUGAAAUGCUAGAAUAGAGGCACAAUCCAACUUUAACAAUUCUCAUGAUUAUGGCUCUCAGCAAGCGUGAUAGAGUUUUCUUCACUACAAAAUUCAAUAGAGAGUAUUUCCGUAUUCAUAUAAGAAAAAUAAAGUAAAAAAUAUCAAAGAAUACUCAGAUUGCCUCAUAGAUAGACAUUAUGGGAAUCAGAGUAAAUUUCUGAGCUAAAAAUUAACAACAUACCGAGUAUAAUCCAUAAAAUGGAUUUUUGGGAGGAUAAGGUGUAUAAAGACCCUACCCCUAAGGUAGAGAGUCUGUUUCCCAAAGACCUUCGACCUGGAAAAAAAUUAGAUGCGAAACUACAAAUAUAUCAAGAGGAUACAAAAUUAAUCUGAGAUGUCUGGCCAACCUAAUUAAAUACUAUAAAUUAGAAUAUAAGUUGCCUAAUUAUAUUCAGUUUCAACUAGUUACGAUCAUUACUUUCAUUACAAAUUUUGGUUACUUUGUUAAUUUAGGAGGCAGUAUGCUUGAUGAAAGAUGUAUGUAUAGAUGAUGUAAGUAUCUGUCAUCAACAGAUGUAAUGGUUCAUUUCUCAGAUCUCUAUCCCUGAAAAAAUAAUUAAAUGUCACAAACAAGUUUCUAACAAACAUUUGAUAAUGUUGUUUACACUAAUAUGAUAGAAGUAUAUAACUUCCCAUAAUUUUAUGAAAUGUAAGAUUGAUUAUGGUUGGAACAUAUAUAUAAAAAUGAAGUUGCGGCCACUUUUUGUAUAACAUAGUAAGAAAAUCACAUAAACCAGCUAGAGCAAGUGAACCGGAUCAUUAAAAUGAUUUAGCAGUGUUAAUCUCUCCACGGGUCUGAACUGCAACAACGUGGACAUCGAUAAGUUACAAAGUAUUUGAUAACUUAAAACGAUUACUCUUCUUAUUGUAUAUCGUUUCUAUGUUUAGAAUACAUUUCACAUUAUGACCUUGUUAUGAGGUUGAAUGAACCAGAACGCUACAAAAAUGUUGAUGAAUUGGUAAGUAAUUAUAGAACUUAAUUAACAAUAUUUGUGGAGUAUGAUGUGUAAUUGACAUAAAUCAACUCGUAAGUGAACCAAAGAAAUAGUGGUGAAAUACAUCGUUUGCUUAGAAAACAAAGGAAAAGAAAUAAGGUGAUCAUUUUUCCGUUGCUUAGUAGCUAAAAACUGAAAAGUCACUGUUGCAUAUAAAUGUUGUCCCAUGAUUUCUUCCAAAUUUAAUUAAAUGGUGGAGUACUCUUUACACACUCAUAUAGUUGAGUAUUCAUCAUCUCUAUGUAAUCAUAAGAACCAGUAGAGGAGAGACAGUUAGAAUAAGCUAUUUGUAAUGUACAAUAUUAUAGAAAAAAAAUAAUCACCUCUGACAAAUUAGUACACUUAUAAUCAACUCAUACAUUUAACAUUACUUACCAUAUAGAACAAUCAGCUAUUGUGAGGAGUCAUCUAUCCGCCUUAAGACCAACACUGAUGCAGCGAGGAAAGAAUUUGAAACUAAAGAUAUGUGAGAUUUCAUACGGUGAAAACAAGUGUACAUCAGGGUUACUAAACAACUAUUGGUGUACUAUAAUCAACAUUAUCUCCUAGAAAACUUUUAAAGGAAAGGGCAAAUAUCAAAACAUUAAUUGAAUUUGAGAGACAAUGCAGAAAAACAUUCAUUUUAUCUUUUGACAAAUCAUAAAUAUAACUUUGCAAAUAAUGCAAUUUAUCUCCUAGAAAACUUUUAAAGGAAAGGGCAAAUAUGAAAAAAAAAAUUAAAACAUUCAUCUUGAACUUUGAACAAUUUAAUUAUUUUGAACAAUGAAAAAAAAAUCAGUUAGUAUGGAAUAGAUUGAGUAAUAGUUAAAAUGUAUUAUCUCUUCAAAAUUAAGGUUUUGUUAUGAAACUACUUGAAAUUAGAAGACGAAUAAAGUAUGGAGAAAGAGAAAGAUUUCUUGUUCAUCUUGUAGUAUAUUUAGGAUUCAUUGAUCUUUCACAAAUCUUAUUUAUAAUGAAGGAAAGUCCUAAAUUUAUAGGGAAAAACCUUACUUGGUCCCCAGGUAGGAUUCCUAACCAUACCUAACAAGGACUCCACAUAAUUAGACAUUCACUAUAACACAAAUAUGUUUAUAACACUCCCCCUUGAAUGUAGGUAGAUUAUGUUCCUCACUAAAACCUUAGUAGAUAAACCAGUAGGAAAAAAAUAUAGUGAAGGAAAAAGAGUACACAAAAAUAAUAAUACGCAUUAUGGAUGCCUCAUUAAAAACCUUACAAGGAAAACUCAGUGGGACAAAACCUUGUGAGAAAAAAAAUGUACAUCGCGUAUUAACUCCCCCUAAUGACAACAUCAAUUCAGAGACUAGAAUCUUCAUUUUUCAAGCUUGUGCACCAUCUUCUUGAAAGUUGUAGUUGAUAGAGACUUGGUGAAUAAAUCAACAAUAAUGUUACUUGAACAUACCUCUUGCAUGUUAAUAUCACCAUUCUUGGGAGCUCAUGAGUGUAGAAAAUACUUGAUGAAAUAUGUUUUCUUCUAUCUGCUUCUAUGAAUCUUUCCUUCUGGAUCAAAGAUUUCUGCAAGUUCCUAACUUCUACUUAUUUAAGCAAAUAAUCCAUUGCCUUUUGAAAAAUCUUCAAGAGUUCUGAUUCUAGUUGUCAACUUGCAUAAUAAUACUUCUAUAUGCUUUAUGCAUUUUGAAUCAAUUUAAUCUUUAUGAGGACGAUAAAUAAGUUUUCCAAAAACUUGUAUAUGUUUUAGAUUUUGAACUCAUCGGAUAUUUUCAUAUCAAUUUUAUUAUGUGACAACGUUCAAUGUUAGAUGUAUGACAUCUUCUAGUGCCUAGAUUGCAAGUCAAAUAAGCUUAAGCUUGAUGCACCAUUCCACUUUUCACUUGAUUAUUAUUUCUACACCAGCAUGCUUUAAUAGUCGCAGAAUCUGUAGCAUAAUAAUCUUUUACAAUAUUGCGUGAUAUUGUAUCAAAGAUACCGUCAACGAUAUAUCAUUUUGCAUUGAUUCACAAUACGACAUAAUUUAUUGAGAUCUCAUUACUUCGUUAUUUUUAGGUAGCUACCCCUCUCAUGAGGUCUCAUAAAGUGUUAUGUCGUAGGCUCCCCAAGGGCACAUUAUCUUCUUAUGAUUAUCAUUUUGAUUCUUUGAUUCUCUCCUUUUUUUAAAGAUUAUUUUAUUUAGAAUUGAUUAGUCUAUCAUGCUUCAUGCAUGUCGUAGACUCUAUCUUUAAGCGACAUUCAAUAGGAGUAUUUACAACUUUUGUGUUGCUUCUAAUCUCCCCCCUUAUGUUAGACAAAGUAACAUAUAUCUCAAUAUUUGGAGAAUUUAUCCUUGUGUAUCAAUGUAUGUUCAUUGAUUAUAUACUACAUAUCAAAAUAAUUAGAUGAAAAAUAUUUGGUCCCCGACCAUAAAUCAAUUGAAAAAAAUUUGAUCAUAAUUUAUCGGUCUGAUGCGUACAAUUACUUUUUUAUGCAAUAUCGUAUUUCAUAUCAACAUAUGAAGCAUUAUUUUCAUAAACAAUGAUUUUACUAUUUGAGACAUUUAGUGUCACAUCAUUUUAGUAUUUAUCAAUAUUAUAAGAUAAAUUAUCUUGAUUACAUAUUCUGAAAUUGUGCUCUUAACUCAAUUAUUUUUGCACAAAUAAUUUUGUAAAUGUCAAACAACAUGUUGACAACAAACGCACAUGCGAUUACCUUAUAGAUGCAUCUUUUUAUCAUAUCACAUGAUAUGUGAACGGGCCCAUAUUCACCUUUUAUACUUUUCAAAAUUUAGGAAUUUAAUCCCAACUUUAGUUGAUCCAGUCAACUUUAUCACGAGAACAAGCAACGUAAAGAAUUCUUGAAGAAUAUUCUAGUUUUUCAAUGUAUGUCCAUUACUCAGUAUGCACAUCUUUGGGAUGACCAUAUUAUAUAUGCCAACUAAUAAAAUUAUUAGUACUCGUAAACUACAAGUUUACUACAUCAUGUGCCUUUCGCUUUAGUAAAUUUCUGAUUUACUAUUAUAUGAGUAAAAAUUUCAAUUUUAUUAAUCCAAGAGUAAUAUUCAGAUUUAUUUCUUCUCAAUUACUUCACCCUUUAGGUGAGUCGUGAUCCCAUCAUUGAAUGAAUUGUAUGAAGAAAAUUGUGCAUGUAACAUAUUAUUUGUGCCAACAUUUUUGCUAACAUCAAGUUGCGAGAUAAUAAUAGGCACACAUGAGACCAUAUAGAAGAAACAUUUAUUAGAACCAUUAAAUGUCUAAACAAUCCACUAGGUGGAUGACUAGGUCCACAAAUAUUUGUAUACAUUCCUAGAACGUAGAGAAUUCAAUCUCAACUUUCGUUUAUGAUGGUCUCACAAUUAGUUUGCCUUGCUAACAACCAUUACAAGAAAACUCACCAUUUAUAAGAAUUUUUAGGUUCUUCAAUGGAUGUCCAUUUUAAUUUUCCAUAAUUCGUCUAAACAUUAUAGACUAAUGAUGUCUUAGACAAUUAUGCCAAAUAAAGAAAGUACUGAAAUUAGAAAACUUCUUAUUUAUCAUAGAACGCGCCUCAAUUGAACUAAUUCUUGUCCAAUACAAGCCUGAAGAUAAAGCAUGAAACGUUUCUAUAAUACAUGUCUUAUUAGAGACAUUCUUGAUGAUACCACAUCGUUAACCAAAGGUUGCAAUCUUUCUCAUGCCUAGCAUGGUGGCUUACACCUCAUUCCCUUCAGAGAAUGGAUCUAUAUUUUUAGCAUUUAUCAAAGUUCUCAUUCUUCAUGAAUGAAACACAAAUAUGUGAGCAUAUCAAAUAAUGAUAGUUUUAGUACCUCAUUCCAUAUCUAUGUGCAUUAUUCAAUCACUUGUCUUCUUUCAGAUAUAUUAUGCACUACAACCACAUUCACUUUACGUAAUGAAGUAAAUUCAGUAAAUUUCAUGACUUCUCAUAAAAAACACAUUAGUUUUUCUUUAGUCAUUAUUAUAUCAAUAUGGUGCAUUGAGACACACAUUCAAUGUCUUAUCCAUAUAAAAGUGUAUUAGGUUAUGAAUCGAUGGAUCUUGAACCCAAUAUCUUAUCAUCAUGGUGCAACAGGACUUUAACCCAAUGUCUUACCUUCUUUUAGCUAUUGGACAUAAAUUCAUAGUCUUAUUCUUUUGGUGCGAUAAAAUUUAAAUCUGUCGUCUUACCCAUAAUGAGGCUCAACCUCAAGCCUUCAAAAUAUUGUAAUUUUAUCAAUUUUGAUGAUAACUAAUAUGAUCGUACAUUAUAAUUACACACAAAAUUGAGAUUAUUGAUUUAUCAUAAUCAACAUUAGAAGUUAAUAAAUAUAGCUUAAUAGAUCACAUACCUCAUAUAAAUGUUGAAAACAUAUCUUUCACUAAAUUGUGUUUAUUUAAUUAUUAAAAUAAAUUUAGGAAUUCUCUUUCGAGUCGAUUAAAAUUAAACGUAUUGAAAAUCAACAAGUCUCUUUAAAUACUUACUUUAGAUGGUACCUCCAGAUCUGUUAUAUAAAUAAUUAUAACAUAAAGAUAAAUCACACCUUGAAGAUAUAAGAACCUUAUUGCAUAACUUAUGCAAGAUCUCUUUUGCACUUUUCCCGUCUUCUUCGUCAUUCUUUAAGAAUAGAACAAUCGUGCUAUUAACGUGUCAUGAAACUAUAUGAAAUUAGAAGAAGAAUAAAGUAGGGAGAAAGAGAAAGAUUUCUUAUUCAUCUUGAAGUAUAUUUAGGAUUCAUUAAUCUUUUACAAAUCUUAUUUUUGUCCUGUAAGAUAAACUAGAGGCUCUGAUGCCACUGAUCUCUUGCUCUUCAUUAGUACCUUUUUUGGUGAAUAUUAUAUAAACUAGUUUCCGAGAAUGUGCGUUGCACGUUUAUCCUAAAAUCCUUCAUAUAAAGUUUGUACUGCAAAAAAUAAAUUUAGACUAUAUAUAUAUAUAUAUCAAGAAUUAGCUAUUAUCACAUUUGUUACCGACCCAAAGGUAUAUAUGUACAUUUCACAAAUUUCGUCGAUAAUUUAUUUCCUCGUAAAUUUAAAGAAUAAAGUUACAAUGGUUCAUAUCAACGUAUAAGACACCAUUGAAUCUCUUCAUCUUCAUUUUUAUUCUCUUCAUGGUAAUUUUUUUUAAUCUUUUUUUAAUUUUUUGUUAGUGAGUUGGAUUCACUUGGACAGAAAUCACAUCAACUUUUUGUCUUGUAGUAUAUUCCAUUGAUUUUCAUGAAUGCAGUGAGUAAGUUAGAAGUCUUUCUUAUUGUCCUUGUGUAAAAGACUCUUUUUUUUUAUUCGAGAAUCCAAUUAAGUGUUCCGUCUCAACUUCUAUAUAAUGAUUUUUGUAUAAAAAUCAAACAAAAAAUUUAUUAAGACCACAUCGACUUACAUAGAAGCAAUUAAUUGCAUGUAAGGAACAAUGAUAUAUUACCUGGAAAUCGAUACCACUUGAAACGGUUCAAUGUGUGUUGCUUCACUUACUACAUCAUCACUAUGAAAUAUUAACGUCAUUUCUUAACUGUAUCUUCAUAAAAAAAAGUCAAAUUGACAAAACUCUUUAGUAGUUGAAAUAUUCAACAAAUAGAUGAGUUAAAAUAAAGAUAAAUAAAAUAUUGAGCAUAAAAAACUCAGAUAAGAAAAUAAUAGAGAUAACAUGAUUACAUGAGAAAGUAGAAUACAUAAUAUAGGAAAAUGGAGAAUCUGCUAAUAGAAGAUAAAAACGUUACAAAUUAAGUGAUUCAAGAAGUGACCUUUUGAUAUCUUGAACCUAACACCUUAAUAUGAGUUUUUUUUUUAAAAAAAAAAUGACAAUGGUUUAAAGAGCAUAAUAAAAGUAGGUAACUUAAAAGGCUAACUCAUUAUUGCUAUAUUUUUGAAAUUAUUUAUUCCAAUGCAUGUAUAUUUUUUUAUCUAGUAAAAUUUUAUCUAGAAAUCAAUUAUGAAUGAAGGACAAUUAUGUUAUUAACUUCAGUAAGUAUUAUUUAAUAAUAUCUAUCAUAUGAACUAAUAUCUAAAACAUAAUUAACUAUUAUAGGAGUAAAAUAUUAAUUGAACUUUGGGUUUUGGAGGUUCACACUUAUAAUAAUAUAUGAUUCUAUGUCUUCUCAAAAUUAUUUAGAACAACUUCUUAUAAGGUUACAACCAAUCCGUUCCUAGAAAUGGACAGUAAGAAAAUUCUGUUUCUCCUAAGCAAUAAAAAAUAAGACAAAACAUGAUCUAAUUGAAUCUCUUUUUUAAAAAUAUAGGAACUCUCUCUUUAAAUGAGGAGAUAUCAAUUACAAAAGAAUAGAGAGAGCUAUUGUUCACCACCAGCAAGUGUUAAUAGUCUUAAAUUAUGAGCAAACUAAAUACUUGAAACAUGUGAUAUGUCCCUGGAAUGAAAAUGAAUGUAAACACACAUAUUAUAUACUUGUCUCUAACCAUUGCAUUUUCCUUUACUGCUUCCGGAACUCCAGUCAUAGUCCUUUAACUUUCCGUCAAAUCUAUGGAUCAAAAUUUUACAUUAGGGGCUUUAUAUCUCAAUGAUCAGAGCCUAUUUCAUUAUGGGCAGAAUUAAGUAUAUCAAGUGGAAAGAAAACACCAAAAUUUCAUUUAUAUUUAAAAGUAAAUAAAUUAAGUUGUAAGCAAAUAUAGAUAUCUAGUGAGCUUAGAGCAAUAAGCAAAAUGAAAUGCAUAAACAGAGAAACAAAAGUUUUUACUCAAACUGAAUUUUAAUUUAGUGAAUAUGCUUAGUGGAAAAACGUCUACUGCUAAACUAUUCAAGAACAUUCACCAAAGGAGAGAGCCUGUCACUCUUAAAAGAAAUACUAAACUUUCAUUUCCCCCGUGUGGAGCAGUGAAUUACUUACGUUAUUGUCUUCAGCAGGCAGGCUGCGCUCUAGGCUGCUAGGAAGUUGUAGACAUUGAAAUUUUAUGAGACAAGAUGCGUUCAAUUUGAGUUGGGACUCUACAAAUUGUGUUCGACUCAGAUUAGGAUUCUUGGAGGUUACUCAACCCUAAACCCUAGUUUAUGCAUAUAUAAAGGGUACUAAAUUCUCUUUAAAGGCAUCUCGAAAAUUACAUAAAGAGAUCAAGAUCUCGAAUACUCCACAAAUUGAUGGAUUAUUCAUAUAGAGAGGUCAAAUCUAAAUCAUCCUAGUUUGAGAAAAUACGCCACAAAUUGAAGAAAUGAUAGAAUCUCACACGUUAGAGUGACAUUUCAAAUAAGAAGUUUACUUGAAUACACCUGCAAUGUAAACAACUCUUACAUUAUCAACGUAUUUUACUGGAAAGUACAAGUCAAUAUAAUGUUACCCUAUCUAGUGUUGGGUUAUGGGUCUUUUUUCCCUUCCUAUGUGGAUAAAUAAAAGCCCAAUUUGGACCAACCCAUUUUUGCUCAUAGGCCCAUUCUUAUGAGGCAAAUAUAAGCCUAUUUAGGUCUUAUUUUCAAAUACACAGAGAGUUUUUUGGCAGCCAAAAGAGAGAAAAAGAGCAGAUUUUCGCAGUCAAAAUUCAGCCCUAACAGCCAACUUCAAAUUGCGAUUCCCGCUUUGUUUCUUGUCCGAUUGAGCUGAUUUUUGGACAGCAUAUUAUCUUCAUCUCAAUCUUUGAUUAGGAACUGACAGAGUUGGAUUUGGUGGCCUGCAACUUCAGUUUUGCUGUCGUGAAUAGUAGCUGCGAAAUUGGUGAUUUUGCUACUUUAAUUCUCUAGAUUUGGUGCAAUCUUAUUUUGUUAUUGCUCGUUGUUUGGCACUUGUUUUGUGGCCAAUUUUGGAGAACAAUAUUGUAACUCUUGGUGAUUAUAGUGGAGCUUUUGGUCCCGUGGUUUUUUACUCUUCACAUCGAAGGGUUUUCCACGUAAAUCUUUGUGUCUUGUGUGAUUGGUUUAUCAUUGUCUUGUUAUAUUUGUUUGAUUGAAUUACUUGCUGCCUUACUAUCAUAUUGCUUGUGGUUGUUUGUCUUCUCUUGGUUCAAAUCCAAAAGGGAAAGUAUAGACUUGGGUACUCUUCCGCUGUUAUCCUGUUAGGCAUUCUUUGUUAGUAUCUUGUCUUUCCCAACAAAGUGGUAUCAGAGCAUUGGUUAUUGUUGAUUGUCAUUUUGAAUGAUGGAGGCAAAUAUGAGCAAAAUGGUGUGUUUAACUGGUAUUAACUAUCAUAUUUGGAAGGCAAGAUGAAAGAUCUUCUAUUUGUCAAGAAGAUGCAUUUACCUGUGUUUGCUUCUAAUAAGCCUCAGUCUUUGAAUGAUGAAGAAUGGAAAUUUGAGCAUCUACAGGUUUGUGUCUAUAUUAGACAAUGGGUUGAAGAUAAUGUUAGAAAUCAUAUUGUGAAUGAGACACAUGCCAAAAGUUUGUGGGACAAGCUCGAGACACUUUAUGCUUCGAAGACUGGCAACAACAAGUUGUUCCUAUUGAAACAAUUAAUGAAUAUCAGGUAUAAAGAGGGCACUCCUAUUUCUGAUCAUAUUAAUGAUUUUCAGGGUGUUCUUGACCAGCUGUCCGGAAUGGGUGUAAAGUUUGAUGAUGAGAUACAGGGACUUUGACUUCUUAAUACUCUGCCAGACUCUUGGGAAACUCUUCGAGUUUCUUUGACUAAUUCUGCUCCCAGUGGUGUUGUAACCAUGGAAUAUACUAAGAGUGGUGUCUUGAAUGAAGAAAUGAGAAGAAGAUCUCAAGCCUCAUCUUCUUCAUCUUCACACUCCGAUGUUUUGGUUACUGAAGAUAGGGGGAGAAACAAGUCCAGAGGUCAGAAUGAUAGAGGUAAAAGUAGAAGCAAGUCAAAGUCUAAAUACAAGAAUAUUACAUGUGACUAUUGCCACAAGAAUGGGCAUAUCAUGAAAUAUUGUUACAAGCACAAGAGAGAUAUGUGACAACAAAAGAGAGAAGGCGAUAAUGAAAAUCGUGUUGUUGUUGUUGCUAAUGAUGAUCUUCUUGUUUCUUGUGAUGCAAAUGAUAUUAAUCUUGUUCGUGAUGAGUCUAGCUGGUUUGUGGAUUCUGGUGCUACUUCUCAUGUCACGCCAAAGAAGGAAUUAUUUUCUUCUUAUACUCUAGGUAAUUUUGGAACGUUGAAAAUGGGCAAUGAUCAUGAAGUUGAAGUUAUUGGCAUUGGGACAGUUUGUUUGGAAAGUAACAAUGGUUCCAAACUAGUUCUUAAUAAUGUCAAGCAUGCUCCAGAUGUUCGCUUGAAUUUGAUUUCUGUGGGAUAUCUUCAUGAUGAGGGUUAUGUUAAUACACUUGGUGCUGGCCAAUGGAAGCUUACUAGAGGUUUGAUGGUUGUGGCCCGUGGUGACAAGUUGUCUAACUUGUAUGUAUUUCAGGGCUCCAUGUCCAGAAACUCAGUAAAUUUGGUGGAGAAUGAUACUUCAUCAGAGUUAUGGCAUAGAAGGCUAAGUCAUAUGAGCGAGAAGGGGAUUGAUAGUUUGGCUAAGAAAAAUUUGCUUUCUGGAGUGAAACAAGUAAAUUUGAAGAAAUGUGUUCAUUACUUAGCCGGUAAAUAGAAAAGAGUUUCUUUUCAGAGUCAUCCGCCUUCAAGAAAGCUCGAUUUGCUGGAGUUGGUACAUUCUGAUUUGUGUGGUCCUUUUAAGGUAAGAUCUCAUGGUGGUGCACUUUACUUUGUGACUUUUAUUGAUGAUCAUUCUCGCAAACUCUGGGUAUUUCCUUUGAAGUCCAAGGAUCAAGUACUUGAUGUGUUCAAGGGUUUUCAGGCCUUGGUUGAAAGACAAACAGGGAAGACAUUGAAAUGCAUCCUCUCAGAUAAUGUUGGUGAGUAUAUUGGUCCUUUUGAUAGAUAUUGCAGAGAGCAGGGUAUUAGGCAUCAGAAAACUCCUCCAAAGACUCCUCAGUUAAAUGGUUUAGCAGAGAGGAUGAACAGAACUCUAGUUGAGAGGGUUAGAUGUAUGCUUUCAGAUGCUAAGCUGUCAGAUUCCUUUUGGGUAGAAGCACUUAAUACUGCUGCUUAUGUUAUCAAUUUAUCUCCUGCUGUUGCUUUAGAUGGUGAUAUCCCUGACAGAGUUUGGACUGGUAAGAAUGUUUCUUAUGAUCAUCUUAGAGUCUUUGGGUGUAAAGCCUUUGUACAUGUUCCUAAGGAUGAAAGGUCAAAGUUGGAUGUUAAAACUAGGCAGUGUAUCUUCAUUGGUUAUGGUCAAGAUGAAUUUGGCUAUCGUUUCUAUGAUCCUGUUGAGAAGAAACUUGUUAGAAGCCGUGGUGUUGUGUUCUUUGAAGACCAAACAAUUGAAGAUUUUGAAAAAGCUGACAAGGCUGAUUUUCAGACUAGUGAGAGCUUAGUUGAUGUUGAUCCAGUUCCUUUGACUAUUGCACCGGAAGAAAAUCUUCAUAAUGAUGAAAAUCAAGUUGAUAAUGAAGAUGGUGAUCAUGUUCAGAAUGACCGGCAUGAUGUUGUUGAUGCUCCAGUGCAAGAUGAUGUGGUUGUCCAACAACCAAUUAUAGAUGCUCCAGAGAGUUCUCUCAGACGAUCUAGUAGAGAGAGAAUUCCUUCAUCUCGUUAUUCUCCCAAUGAGUAUGUACUCUUGACUGACGAGAGAGAACCUGAGAGUCUUGAUGAGGCCAUGGAAAGUGAAGAAAAAGAAAGGUGGUUUGAUGCUAUGGAAGAUGAGAUUAAAUCCUUGCAUGAAAAUCAUACCUUUGAUUUGGUUAAGUUACCUAAAGACAGAAAAGCUUUGAAAAACAGGUGGGUUUUUCGGGUGAAACAUGAAGAUGGUAAUCCAGUUCCACGGUACAAAGAUAGAUUAGUUGUCAAGGGAUUUAAUCAAAAAAAAAGAGUUGAUUUUGAUGAGAUAUUCUCUCCAGUUGUGAAGAUGUCAUCCAUUUGUGUGGUUCUAGGCUUGGCUGCAAGUCUAGAUUUAGAGGUUGAACAAAUGGAUGUUAAAACUGCUUUCCUCCAUGGUGACUUAGAUGAAGAAAUUUAUAUGGAGCAAGCGGAAGGUUUUGAAGUCAAGGGUAAAGAGAAUUAUGUUUGCAAAUUGAAGAAGAGCUUGUAUGGUUUGAAACAAGCUCCCAGGCAGUGGUACAGGAAGUUUGGUUCUUUUAUGAGUCAGCAGGGCUUCAAGAAGACUUCUUCAGACCAUUGUGUUUUUGUGCAAAAGUUCUCUGAUGGUGACUUUAUUAUUGUGUUGCUUUAUGUUGAUGACAUGCGUGUUGUUGGUCAUAAUACUUGCAGGAUUCAGAAGUUGAAGCAAGAGCUGAGUAAGUCUUUUGCUAUGAAAGACUUAGGACCAGCAAGGCAGAUUCUUGGCAUGCAGAUUGUCCGUGAUAGAAAGGCCAAGAAAUUGGUAUUAUCACAAGAGAAGUACAUUCAGAAAGUACUUCACAGAUUCAGCAUGGAUAAAGCUAAGGUUGUCAAUACACCUUUAGCUAUGCACUUCAAAUUGAGCACGAAACAGUGUCCUUCUAGUGAUGAUGAGAAGGAAGAUAUGAAGAAAGUUCCUUAUGCUUCAGUUGUUGGUAGUUUGAUGUAUGCGAUGGUUUGUACAAGACUGGAUAUUGCUCACGCUGUUGGAGUUGUUAGCCGUUUUCUUUCUAAUCCGGGAAGAGAACAUUGGAAUGUUGUGAAGUGGAUUAUGAGAUAUCUCUGUGACACUUCUAGUCUGAGUUUGUGUUUUGGUACAGGGAAGCCUAUUCUUUGUGGUUAUACUGAUUCAGACAUGGCUGGUGAUGUUAAUACUCGCAAGUCUACUUCAGGGUACUUGGUUACUUUUGCAGGGGGAGCUGUGUCUUAGCAAUCUAGGUUGCAAAAAUGUGUUGCUCUAUCUACUACAGAAGCUGAGCUUAUUGCUAUCGUUGAAGCUUGUAAAGAAUUGCUUUGGAUGAAGAGAUUCUUGGAGGAACUUGGUUGUGCUCAAGAGAGGUAUGUGCUUUAUUGUGACAGUCAAAGUGCUAUACAUCUUGGCAAGAAUUUUACGUUCCAUGGUCGGUCUAAACACAUUGAUGUGAGAUACCAUUGGAUUCGAGAUGUGUUGGAUUCUAAGUUGCUUAAGCUUGAAAAGAUUCAUACGAAUGACAAUGGUUCCGAUAUGAUGACUAAAGCUUUGUCAAGAGGGAAGUUUGAAGAUUGUUGCAUGGUCGCCGGGAUGGCGGUCUCCUCCACAUACUCGUGAGGGGGAGUAUUAUUGGGUUAUGGGUCUUUUUUUCCUUCCUAUGUGGAUAAAUAAAAGCCCAAUUUGGACCAACCCAUUUUUGCCCAUAGGCCCAUUCUUAUGAGACAAAUAUAAUCCUAUUUAGGUCUUUUUUUCAAAUACACAGAGAGUUUUUUAGCAGCCAAAAAGAGAGAAAAAGAACAGAUUUUCGCAGUCAAAAUUCAGCCCUAACAACCAACUUCAAAUUGCGAUUCCCGCUUCGUUUCUUGUCCGAUUGAGCUGAUUUUUGGACAGUAUAUUAUCUUCAUCUCAAUCUUUGAUUAGGAACCGACAGAGUUGGAUUUGGUGGUCUGCAGCUUCAGUUUUGCUGUCGUGAAUAGUAGCUGCGAAAUUGGUGAUUUUGCUACUUUAAUUCUCUAGAUUUGGUGCAAUCUUAUUUUGUUGUUGCUCGUUGUUUGGCACUUGUUUUGUGGCCAAUUUUGGAGAACAAUAUUGUAACUCUUGGUGAUUAUAGUGGUGCUUUUGGUCCCGUGGUUUUUUACUCUUCACAUCGAAGGGUUUUCCAUAUAAAUCUUGGUGUCUUGUGUGAUUGGUUUAUCAUUGCCUUGUUAUAUUUGUUUGACUGAAUUACUUGCUGCCUUACUAUCAUAUUGUUUGUGGUUGUUUGUCUUCUCUUGGUUCAAAUCGAAAAGGAAAAGUAUAGACUUGGGUAUUCUUCCGUUGUUAUCCUGUCAGGCAUUCUUUGUUAGUGCCUUGUCUUUCCCAACAUCUAGUUACAAGUUGAUUCAACCAACAUGCGUGCAAGUUGACAUUGGCACCAUGGUUAUAGAAAAGGGAUAAAUGCAUGUUAAAUGUUAACUGACAUCACAAUAGUCUUGAGCAGAUAAUGCUUGGACCUUUGAAUGCCAUUAGCAAUGAGAAAUCAAAAUAAUUAUUGUAGGCAACUGGUGACUACAAAAAUCAAAGAAGAACUUUUAAACAAAGACUUCACUUUUAGUCUUCAGGUCACAUGCCAAAACAUUGUUCAUUCAUCUUGUUUACACCUAAUAUUUUUUUGUCUCAAUAUUAAAGAGCUUUUGGAUCAAUACAAUAUAACAUUCUCAUCACUAGUAAGAUAACUAUUUAUAGACUUUGUUUUGAUGCUAUAUAUAGGCCUCGAUUAUAUAUGGAUGAAUGAGCACUCAAAAAAGUGUGCAUUAAAAUCUCUCAAGACGAUAUAGAAUGCAAGAUGUCAUGAGAAAAAAAGCUACAUAUUAGAAAUUUAAUGAAAGAAGAAUUUAGAACCACAUGCAUAUUCAAGUUCGACUAAUAAGAUAUCAAAGGGGACUGACAAAACAUAAUAGGCUGCUACUCUAGGCUCGUGUCACUUCUUCAAGAUCCACUCCUUUCAAAAAUUAACAAACCACACUGAAGAAUCAGGUGAUGUUCAAUCUAACUUGGACUAUUUCAUUGAAUACUUAUUUACUUGGACUAUUUCAUCGAAUACUUAUUACCUUCCUAUCUAGCUUUGGAUUCAUUGAAAUCACUAGCUUCUCCCAUGAGUAGGUUUGGCAUUGUUGCCAUUGUCAAUUUUCUGCAUUCGAGAGAUUAUUUCCAUAUAUAGAGAGUAUAAAGAUUACACAUCCCUAAAUAUCCGCCAUUCCUAUCCCUAAAGAUCAACUAUUCUAUCUCGACAAAUAUGCUAUUCAAUCCCUCUAAAUUUGUUUUACUAUCCCUCCAAAUCAGUCAUUCUAUCACAAUAUUUAUUUCUCUGAUUCUACAACAAAAUCUAUAUGAUAAUACAAAUUUAUAGAACUAUAUAAUUACUUUAAUGUAUGCAACUAUUUAGAUUUUUGUCAUGCUAACAUCCCCCUUUAAAUCUAUGCUGGUGGAUGAAGAAAUAUCAAUUUACCUACUAAAAACUGAUGGUGUUUGUAACAAACAGUAAUCACAAAAGAAACAGUAGCCAAACUCUUUCACUGAUAGUAUUUACUGGUGUACUAAGGUAACAUAGACAUAGUACUAAUACAAUAGAAAUCGCAUAAGAUAAAGUAACUGGAAUAGAUAGUAGAAGGAUAUGAGAAAUCAGAAGAAGGGGAUGAGAAAUCAGAACCGAGUCAAAACAUAUUCGCUGCUCUGCAAUGUCGUACUACUAUUGAUUUUUUAUCUGACUCGUUUAACAGACCUUGCCGUUUUACUUAUGUACCCCUACUCUUUUCCAAAAGUAAUCCCCAAGUUUAGCAGGAGGAAUCACCUUUCUAGCACUCCUACGUGGCAUAACCAUGUGUUGUUCCAUUAUUUCAUCCUCCGUGUCAUCCUUGUCAUCUACCAACGUGUUUGAGUUCACAACAGUGUUGUCGUGCCAUGUUUUUUGUAAACACAUCAUCUAUUUGAAGAUCAUUGGACACAUGUGGAAGAGUAAGGGCUCCUUUAUCUACAGUUUCUCAUAUAUAAUGACAGUCUACUUCGAUGGGUUUGGCCUCCUCACGAAAAACUGUAUUAGUAGCAAUCUCAAUAGCACUUAUAUUGUUAGCGUGGAGAGGGGUAGGAUGAGAUUCAUGAGGAAAUAUAAUCUCAAAAAGUAAUCCACAAAUCCAUACUACCUCGAAGAAAGCAGUAGACAUGGAUCGAUGUGCAACCUCUAUUGAAGAUUUUGACACACGAUCUUGCCAGUGAAGGAGACAGGAGUUUCAUCGAGGGGGUUCAAAAAGAUAAGUAAGCACGAUAAUAGUAUCCAUAUAGGCGGGGCGACUCAAUUAUAAAUGGGUAGAAUAAGAUAUAAGCAACCAAAAAUAUUCAACUCCACCUCAACCAAAACAAUAAAUCGAGUAACUAUAUGUUUGACAUAACAAAAAAAUAUAAGUACACGAGAAUAUAUUUUUUUAAACCUAUAAUUAUGGGUCUUAUUAGUGUUAUUGUUGUAUAUAAAUGUUAUUUAAUUUUUGAAACUAAAAAGGAUUAAUUUUGAAUUCGAUCAUAUUGUAGCAAUAGAAUUUGUGUCGAGAAAAUAAUUAUCAAGAUGGGAAAAUAUCGCGACAAUCGUAUUUAUUUAUAAAUUUCAAAUAAUUACUCUUAUUUAUUUGAUCUUACUUAUAAUUAUAUUCUUUAUUAAUCAAAUGUAAAAUAAAUGUUUGACUUAAAAUGAGUAUGAGAGAAUGUUUUUUUUUAAUUCUAAUUAUAAAAACUUAAAACACAUUGUAAGAUUUACUUAAUUUUAUAAAAAUAGAAAAGAAAUUUAUUUUUAAUAUCUAAUAAAAUAUUAUAAAUCCCAAUAGAUUUUCAAACAAAACAAUUUUUUAUUUAUUUACAAAUAAAAAUGAAAAUUAGUUGAAAAUAGGGCGGAAAACGGUGUUAUCUGAAAUUGAAUCCGCUAAGCCAAGCCUUUGGCAUACGUUCAGGGGGUUCAUCACCUAAUAUAUACGUAUAAAUCAAAAAAUUGAUCCUAUAUGUAUCGUGUAAUUUUUUCAACGAUGCGGGUUCGGAUGAACCCCCUUGGAUCCAUGUAGGUCUGCCCCCGGAUCUUGUUUUUUACUCUUCUAAGAUAUCAAUGACUCUCCAGUGGCUAAAUGACGAGUAUUAAGACAUCUCUCUCAAUCAGAAUCACUAAAAGCAUUAAGAUGAAUAGGAGAAACACUUGUAAAGAACAAUCCACGAGUAGAUGUUCCUAGAAGAUACCAAAUGAUACGACGGACAACCACCAAAUGGAGAUGUGGGGAGCUUGCAUGAAUUGACUAACUUGUUGAACUGCAAAAGAGAUAUUAUGUCUAGUAAAAGUAAAGUAAUUUAGACUCCCAACAAAUUGUAGAAAUAUAGUUGGAUCAUGAAGAAGAUCAUCUUCCUCACGACAAUACUUCACAUUCAAUUUUAAUGGAGUAUCUACAGAGAAGAAAUCUUAAAGACUAACCAAAGAAAUCAGAUCCUAAGUAUAUUUGUGUUAAUUUAGAAACACACCUCAAACAUUAUUAUGAACUUUCAAACCCAAGAAAUAUGUAAGAGUACCAAGAUCUUUCAUAUGAAAAGAAUCUUUUAAGUUGUCUUUGUAGGCUAGUGAUUAAUGAAGGAUUCCUAUGAUGAUAAUGUCAUCUACAUACACCAAAAGAAGAACACAAAAUGUUGAUGUUUUUCGAAGAAACAAAGAUGAGUCAUUGUUGACACCCAUUUUUUAUCUUCCCCGAUAGAAAUUAACUGACGAGCUUUUAAAUUUUCGAACUAUUUAUAAAGUACAAAUACUCUGCAUAGUCAUUUCAAAUAGUUUUAAUCGUUUUUAUGCAUAUUUUAUUAAUUUAGUGUCAGUUUGAAAUAUUGUUUUAAAUUUUUGAAUUAAUUAGUGAGUGUUCAAAUUAAUUAUUUCACAAGUAAGUUAAUUAUUUUAUUUUGUUAAGAUCGCGAAGCUUGCAAAUGAAUUAUAUAAAUUCAUCCUAUUUAAUUAUAAUUUUUUGAAGCUGGAACUGAUAAGACGUAAUAAAAAAACACGCAGCACAAUGCCUUUUUCUAAAAAAAGAAAAAAGCUAUAAAGAAAAAUUAUACUUCAAUAAAAUAAUUAAAAUAAGCAUCUUAUUAUUUUUUUACAUAGUUAAAUUUUGUGUGUUUUACAAAAUUUAACGAAAAAUUAAUUCAAAUUAGUUGGGUGCUUUUUAAGUAAAAUAUUAAUAGUUACUCGACUUUUUAUGUGAACUUUUAAUAGUGGAGUGACUUUCGAGUUAUAAAACAAAGUUAAGUAUUUUUCAAACGAACAAUUCAAAGUUGAGUGACUUCCUAAAUAUGAACUCUUAAAAGUUGUAUGCUUGCAGUUUCCUUUUGUUACACAUAUUUCAUCAUCAACAGAACAACAAGGACUAGUAAAAGAGGACAAAAGAAACAGCAACAACGGUGAUAAUACCACAAUUGCACCACCAUUUAUAGACUUUCUUGGAGUAGGAGCCACUUGAAUAAUUGAAAUCUUCUUUUUUCUUUCCAAGAAAAAGGCGCCCUCUCUCCCCUUGUAUUAGUAAGCAUGUAACAAGUAUUUUAGUUUUUUUCAUUCUAUUAUUAUGUGUCAAUUUAUGAUACUGAAAGCAUAUAAAAAAAAGACUCCACUUUGCAAACUAUUAACAAUAAGAUGUUGUCACUUCUCAUUUGUUUUAGUAGUGAGAUCAAAUAGUGUGACCACAAUAAGCUUCAUAAUUCUUUGGUCAUUGAAAUUAAAUGUCACAUAUACUCUGGUGGCGAAGUUAAGAAUUUCGCGAAAGAUAUUUAAGAUAAAUUAUGCAUCAUGUAAGGUACAUAGUCUUUAAGAAUAGACACAAAACUAUAAAAAUAAUUUAGUUAUUUUUUGAACUUUUAGGACCUAUAAUUUUCUUUUGAAGCUUAUUGCUUUAAAUAUGACAAUUUGUGUGAUUAUGAUAUCUUCUAAGCAAAGGUGGAAUGCAUAUAUAGAUAGUAUAUAUAAUGUGAAAAGUCAAAAGAUUAAAGUGUUUUAGAGCUUUUCUCUGUUCAUCUGAUACUUUUUUUUGUAAUCCGUCCUAAAAAACAGACGGAGUGACAGACAUUAAUCCUUCUAAAUCUGCUUUAUUAUCCCUCCAAAUCAACUAUUCUAUCACAAUAUUUAUGUAUCUGAUUCUACCACAAAUCUAUACGAUAAUACUAAUUUAUAGCUCUAUAUAACUACAUUAAUAUAUUCAAUUAUUUAGAUGUCAAUCGUGCUAACAACCUUCACCCCAAAAUCAUGUUUCACUCUUUCGUUAGUCAUCUACAGCUACAGAUUCGUCACCAUUGGUAGUGCCUUGGCUAGCUUUUUGUUCCUGGGAUAAAAGAAAUCGGUUUGCUUCAGAUUUCUAAUUAAAAUUAUUGUAGAAGGAAGUUGCUUCAAUUGACAAACACUAAUAAGUAUCAGAAUAUUACUUUUAAGUUAAGAUAGAAAAAGAGCACUAGAGUAAAUUAGUUAUACAAUUAACGGUACUAGACAAACCUUAGAAUUGAACCACUGUUGUGUCCAUUUAUUUAGAUCGUCCACUUUCACUUCAUAACCAUCAUUCACUGAUUCGAGACUCGGUGUACUCACAGAUAUUCCAUGUUGGACAAACGUAUUCAUUUCCGGGCACUCAUGAAUUGUCACUUCUCUGAGAAAUGGAAAUUUAAGAGGAUGCUCAGUUAGAAAGAAAUGCACCAGCUUAGGCAGUUCUUUAAGCUUCAACUCGUUCAACAGGGGAAAUAAGGUCAUUAUUUCUUCUCCUUGUUGUUCCUCUUUUGAGAUCACUUCUUCCAUUGAUGCACAUUCUUCUAUCCCUAAACUUCGGAGGUUUAGAAGACCUCGAGCCACUGAUGGAGGCAUCAAGUUUCUCAAGUUUCCACAAUUCCAUACACGCAAUCUUCCAAGUUUGCUGAAGUAGGCACUUGAAAGUUGGUCAGAGCAUAGAGCAGUUAUGCUUUCAAGCUCCCAGAUUCUUAGUUCUUCCAAGUUGGGAAAAGAAACCUGCAAGUAUUAUAAAGCAAUUCAGAAUUUAAAAUUUAUUGGUAUCUCUAAUAAACUUGAGUUCAUAUCUAAUAACAAUCACGGUAUAUCUAGAUAUUACUAAUGCAGCAGCAGACCAGGAGUGCAUGACACAAACCUUAGAAUUGAACAUUGCUUUCACCUCAUCAUCAUUGUUCAUAGUACUUUCGAGACACACAGAUAUUUCCUUUUGGACAAACGUCUUCAUUUUAGGGCACUUACUAAUUGUCACUUCUCUGAGAAAUGGAAAUUCAGUAACACUCUUUGUCAGAAAGAAAUGCCUCAGCUUAGGCAGAUUGACAAGAAGCACUUCUUCCAACAGGGGAAAUAAGGUCAUUAUUUCUUUUCCUAGGUGUUCCUCUUUUGUGAUCACUUCUUGCAUUGAUGCACAUCCUUUUAUCCGUAAACUUCGGAGGUUUAGAAGACCUCGAGCCACAGAUGGAGACAUCAAGUUUCUCAAGUUUCCACAAUCCCAUACAUCCAAUCCUUUAAGUUUGCUGAAGUAGGCACUUGAAAGUUGGUCAGAGCAUAGAGCAGUUAUGCUUUCAAGCUCCCAGGUGAUUAGCUCUUCCAAGUUGGGAAAAGAAACCUGCAAGUAUUAUAAAGCAAUUUAGAAUUUGAAAUUUAUAGAUAUCUCUAAUGAACUCGAGUUAAUAUCCUAUAACAAUCGCGGUAUCUCUAGAUAUUACUAAUGCAGCAGCAGACCAGGAGUGUAUGACACAAACCUUAGAAUUGAACAUUGUUUUCACCUCAUCAUCAUUGUUCACAGUACUUUCGAGACUUACAGGUAUUCCCUGUUGGACAAACGUCUUCAUAUAAGGGCACUCACGAAUUGUCACUUCUCUUAGAAAUGGAAAUUCAGUAACACGCUUUGUCAGAAAGAAAUGCCUUAGCUUAGCCAGAUUGUCAAGACGCAGUUCUUCCAAUCGAGGAAAUAAGGUCAUUAUUUCUUCUCCUAGUUGUUCCUCUUUUGUGAUCACUUCUUCCAUUGAUGAACAUCCUUCUAUCCAUAAACUUCGGAGGUUUAGAAGACCUCGAGCCACUGAUGGAGACAUCAAGUUUCUCAAGUUUCCACAAUUCGAUACACGCAAUCUUUUAAGUUUGCUGAAGUAGGCAGUUGGAAGUUGGUCAGAGCAUAAAACAUUUAUGUUAUUAGCCACAUGGAUAUAUAGCUUUUCCAAGUUGGGAAAAGAAACCUGCAAACAUUGAAGUAUCAAACUUUGAUGUAGAAAACACUACGCCAAAAGCGCUUAGACAUAUUUAUUUAUAUUUAUAAUUGUAUAUGAGAAAAAAUUUCAAAUAUAUAAAAUUAAUGGGCCAGAAUUAGGGGUAAAGAGAAACUAAGCAAAUACCACAUAAAAACAAAAUAGUUACAAAUAUAUAUUCUCUUACAUUCAUACUCCACUAAAUAAUUACACUAUAUAACCCUUAAGUCAUCAAUAUCAUAUAUUAUAUUGGUAUUAUUAAUGAUGAUAAUUUCGCUUAACUUAUACUAAAUCAGCAAGUAUAUAUAUACUAUAAUGUUAUCAUUAAGGUUUUUUCAGAAAUUGCUCAUUAAACAAUGAAAUUAUAAGAGUAUAUACACAUAUUAUCCGUUAACAAGGGUACAUGAAAUUAUUCUAUUUAAAUUGAUAAAAUGAGAUUGUGAAGAGAAAAAGUUAUUUCCUACAUUUUUAUCAGUUAAAGUGAUUCUAAAAUAAAUAAAACAAGAACAAAGUUCUUUAAAAGUAAUAAUUUUAUCAAGAAUAAGAUUUUUUUAGAAGAAAAGAAUUAAUUAAUUAUUCGGAAAAUGACAUUUUUGACCUAUUUGGUAACAAUAGGGACAUUUUUGGAUCAAACUACUAAAUGGCAAGGGUAUUUUUGGACCAAAGUGUUAAGGGAAAAAUCAUUUUUGGACCAAACUAUAAACAACACAAUGUAAUUUUAAGACACUUUUUUACCCCUUUUCAAAAAAAUAAUUUACAAUAUAGCUACCAAAAAAAAAAAUCUUAAAUUUAUUCUUACUAUUUUCUUCUUUUUUCCAUAUUUAUUUGUUUUUACUCUAAAAAAAGAAAUAGAAUAAGAAUCUCAAAUAAUGAUUAAAAAAAUAAAUUCAUAAGUGAUAUAUUAAAAACUUAUAUUAGUCGUGGAAUAAAAAAGGUCAGGUGAAAAGAUUCAAAUAUAGUCUAUAUUAACCUUUUUAAAAUAAACUUAAGUAGACAAAACAGUAUAUAUGAUACCUUUGUAUUUAACAGUAAAAGAAUAUUGGUAAUGCUCAAUUAAAACUAAAGGUAAAUUUUAAUUCAUAAGAGCCCUCAAAAUAAGAACUGAAAAAGAAAUCUCAUUUCAUACUUUUUUAAAAUCUUCAUUUUUUAUGCUAAGAAGCAAACCUUUUCAUGAAAAAGAGGAUUUGGGUGAGUGAUGAAGUUGUUGGCAGUAGGCCACCAAUUUUGGAACUUAGGUAAAUUCCUGAAGGUCAAUUUCCGUAACUGAGGGAACUCAAUGCCGUCAACAUUGUCACUGCAAAAGUGAGUGAGGCAUUCCAGAUCUUGCAGUUUCAACACAUAUAAAUUGGGGAACUUGAUUACUUCAUGUGUCAUUCGAGAGAUGUUGAAUAUAUGUGUCACUAAAUUACAAGCAGAGAGGUGGAGACAUUUCACGUUCUGAAAUUCAUUCGGCUGCAACUCAUUCAACACAUUAUUAGAGCCCUCUCCACUUGAAGUUACAAAUUCACUCUUCUUCAACAGGUGGCAGAUCCAACCAGCCAAUGGGGUGGUCUCCGUGACCUCUAAAGCAAUGCUCUUAUCGUAAUCAUACAUUUUAUCUUCAUAAGCACAACCCACUUUAAUAUUGUACCGUGUCAACUUGGAGGGAAGGACCAACUUACUGUAAGUCACAUCUUCGGAACAUUCAUAUAACGACAGUGCAGUCAAUGCCGAUAAGAAUUCCAGUUCCAUCAAGAUGGAGCAACUACAAUCUUUCACUCCCGUCAAAUGUAGUUCCUCCAAUCGAACUAGUCUUGAUAAGACACCUGUUGAAAUCCUUUUAUCUACUUUAUUCUCAUUCAAAAACUCUAAUACAAUUAACUUGGUCAAAUUUCCUAUCUCCUCUGGCAGCUCAUCUAACCGAGUAUCUCUUAUGCUUAGGAUUUCCAAAUUGACAAGUUUUCCAAUAAUAGAUAUGUCUUCCAAAUCUAAAUUAAUCAGAUGCAGCGUCCUCAAACUCGAUAACCUCUGAAUGGAUGCUGGAAAACGACAAAUGGAGCCCUCAUGAUAUCUACCCAUCAGGCUUAAGACUUUGAGUUCACCCAUGUCAUUAAAAAAAUUAUCCUGUAAUUUGACUGGAUUUCCAGAAAAGAUUUUCAACAUUAGAAGCUUCAGUUUUGGGCAAAAUAUUGGUCUAGGAAGCUCCUCAAAUUCAUUUGCAACUAUGGACAUGUGACAAUAUUGCUCAUAAGUAUCUUUUUUGGGGAACUCUUUUGAGUUCACAUCAUGCCUUACCAUAAAUUUGUGCUCUUCCUCAGAUGCAAUAUAUAUAGCCACGUCACGUAACACAUCAUGCAUUUUGACAUAAUUUUUGUCUGAACCUUGGGAUAACAAGAAACUAUCUUUCAAUAUUUCUAUCAAAAAAAACACCCUAUUUCUUGCAUCUUCUAAAUUUUUCAUUUCCGAAAAAAUGCCAAGACCCUUUCCGUAUCUAAGUAAUUCUUCAAUCCAAAUGUCACUAUCUUCCUCAAAUAAAGAACAAAGCAAAAAUAGGUACCUGGCUUCAACACUUUCAAUGUAAUCAUAGCUUAGCCUCAGAGGCCCAUACACCUUUGUGUGCACUCCAGGGAUAUUUCUUGUAUCUGCAGAACAUAAUUGCUUAAGGGCAUCCUCCCACGAAGGCUUGGUUUUACGCUUUAGUGCUCCUGCAACUGUAAUAAUUGCAAGCGGCAAUCCCUUGCAUUCUUUGGAAACAUCUUUUGCUAUAUCAAGCAGAGAAGGAUCGUCGACUGAAUUACCGACUUUCUCCUUGAAAAGGAUCCAUGCUUCCUCUUCAGGUAAAGUUCCAAUUUCCAUGAUCUUCUGAGCCUUCAUUAUAUCACAAACAGGUCGGAGACGUGUCGUCAAUAUAACUUUGCACCGGUAGUUGUGGUUGCUACCGGUGAAAAUUCCGAGU